AAACUAUUAGUCCUAAGUGUUUUUGAGAAUUCCUAGGUUCGGAUGAGAUUCAUUGAAACUAUUCAAUGGCAUGUUUAAAUCUCGAUAUGCCCCUCUUGUUUGUGACUGGGAUGCCGAGGAUCACAAAGCGGGUGUGAAUUACCAUGCAAAUUCACAUGGCGCCUUCAUUGUAACAAUCACCUAUUCGACGUGCCGGUAAACCACACACGCUCCAUCGAACUAUGAUAAACAACGAAUCACCCUUCGCCACCUUCGCUUAGAACCAAUUAGUGUGCCGGUAAACCACACAUGCUCCACUAACUUCUUAGCAAGGUGCAAAGUGUAACUAAGAUUGGGAAAUUUUGAAAAUAUUUAGUUACUUGUAUUUCCUAUUAUACUUUUAAUGAGAGGAUGAGGUUGCCCUAUCCUACCCGUUCGGCUAACGACCCUCCACCGAUCAAGCAAGCGGUGGGUGUGAGUGUACACCCGUUAAGCGUCAUUUUAUAGGCCGCAACCUUAUACCCACCUUAUAGAUCGGCUUCGUGAAUGAGGCCUACUAGCAGUAAGACUAGCGUUUAGUUAUACAUAUAUAUAGAUAUUAAUCUUGUAAUAUUAUAUUAGUAUAAGGUUGAAUUUUAAACUUGUAAAACUCUAGGGUUUGAAAUUUAACUUUAUCUAAAUUAAACAUAUAAUCAUAAAACAUAAAUUUCAAAAUUUUGAGGGCAAGUUUUAAACUUUUCAAAACAUAGAGGAUCAAAUAACCAAUAAUUCUUUAUUAACAAUUAAUCACAUAAUUAUCCAUAUUUGAUUUAUUUGAAAUUUCUUGAAAAAACAAUUUACCAAUUAAAUAAAAUAAUUUAAUAAUUAUCAUAUAAGUAAAUUAAAUAUUUGAUUAAUUGAUAAACUUCAUUAACUAGAUCAAAAAUAUGGUCAUAUUUAUCACAAAUUUGGAUUUGGGAUGAUCUAAUAUGAUAAUGGUAACUUUCCAUAAGAUAAUUACAAAGAAAUCCCGAAAUUGGCUCUUCCUGACGCUCGGACUCGCCGAGUACCCACUCUGGACUCGCCGAGUCUAGCCUACUCGCCAAGUCCACAGUGGGACUCGCCGAGUCCAUGACUCAGAAACAUAAAAAUCGUAUUUUUCAGUUAUGAUUCAUACAAACAAGCAACAAUUUAAAAGAAACCAAGCUAGGCUCUGAUACCACUGAUGGGUUUUGGCCAUAUGAACAUUCCUAUGUGCACAUGCAAACCCUAAUGCUUGGAUCUAUGGCUUCUAAUCAAACAUGCUUGUAUCCAAGACUUCUAAUGGCUAAUUAGGUAUAAAACAAAACAAAAUCAGAUCUAGAAACAUACCUUUGAUUCUCUUGUUUGUUCUUGUUGUCUUGGAGCUCUAGAGUCACAAUUGUCACUCCUCUAAUGGCUUACAAACACCAACUAGCAAGAGGAUGAUUUGGGAGAGAGGAAAGAGCUAUAAAUCGGCCAGAGUAUCUUUACUUAGGAUGGGUGCCGAUUUCUCAAGUCUAGAGGGUCUAUUUAUACUUGCAAGGCUCCUAGGGUUUCACCUUUAAACCCUAACUGGAUAACUUAAACUCUAAGUUAAUCCAUAUCCUUUCCUUAGAUAACCCUUUGGACGAUUUUGGCUUAUCCUAGCCCUAGAAAUCAUCUAAUCCUUUAUCUAUAAGGAUUUACAGCCUAAAGUCCAACUAUCAAACAAUUGACAGUUUAUACCCUCAUAUUUAAUUAAUCCCUUUAAGUCACCAAAUUAAUACUAAUUAAUCUAUGACUUAUAUUAAUUAAAUAACUAUAUUAUUAAUCCUUAUAUUACUCCUAUAAUAUAUUAAUAAUAUCUACUCUCUCAUAAUAAAUCAUCCUAUCAAGUUUCUAUGGUGAAGGCAACCCAAAAGGACCAUGCAUAAUCGGGUCAAGUGUUUGCCUAAUAUAGUUGCAGCCUUAGACACUAUUCCAACAAUGGUAACCAUGGUUUCACCAUUCUCCCUACUUGAAUUUUGGCUUGUCUCGGGCUGCUCUCAUAAAAUCCUUCGGCAAUCACUUCUUUUGUGGCCAGAAUAAUUAUAGUGAUUGCAAUAACCUUCGAACCUUGUAUUUGAAGAUUUACCUCGAUCUCGCGCUUUCCCUCGGUCUCUUGAUUUCCCAUGAUCUUGGGAUCUUCCUCUACUUUGACCAGGUCUACGUCUACCUCGACCUCGACCUCUACCUCCAGUUCUUCCUCCGCCUCUUUCUUUAUUUUCUUACACGAGGGCAAAAGACUGGUCUGUACCAGCUUCUCUCCUUCUGGCUUCUUCGUUCAUUAGGGCGUCUGUGACCAUCUCCAUUGACACUUUGCCACCGGGGGCAGAGUUGUUGAGAGUCACAACAAGCGUCUCUUAAUUAUCUGGUAGAGAACUCAAGAGCAAUAUGGCUUGUUCCUCGUCUUUGAGAACCCAUUCAGUAGCACCGAGAUGGUUUACGAGAUCCUGGAACUGACUCGUAUGCUCGGUUAUGGACAUACCACUUCAUAACUUAUGGUUUACAAGGCGCCUCAUCAUCAAGGUCUUGUUGCGUGCCGUCUUUGCCUGAUACAUAUUCUCGAGCUUCUCCCAAAGUUUGUACGCGUCGGUCUCUUGAGAGACAUGGUGAAAAACAUUGUGGUCAAUCCAUUGUCGAAUUUGUGCCACCGUUUUCCAAUUUAUUCUCGUCCAAACUUUGUCUGUCUUCGUGUCGGGUUUGACGCCUUGCUUUUCUAUAGGCUCUGCUAAAUCUUUCAGAUUAAGCAAAUCUUCCAUCCUUGGCUUCCACAUGUUGUAAUUUGUGGGCGUAAGUCGAACCAUCAUAAUCGUACUUGUAGAUUCCAUCGAAAAUAAUUUCAAAUUUAUUUUACAAAUAUUUCGAGGAAAAAUUAGAUAAAACCAAGCUCUUGGUUAGAUUCGGAAGCGUCAAAAAUGGUGGGGUAGAAUUUUUCGGGCUCAAAAUAUACUUUCUUGAAAAGUUAUGUGCUAAUUUGUAACUUUUCGGAACUAUAGGGGCUAAACUAUAAUUUCCGGAACUUACAGGGGCCAAUCUGUAAUAUUUCUACCAACCAGGGACUUUUUGGAAACUUUUCAGAACUCCAGGGACCAAAACAAAUGUUUUCAGCAGAAUAGGGACCAAACUGUAGUUUUUCAGAAACAGAGGGACCUUUCUGCAAUUUUCUGGAACUUCAGGGGCUAAAACGCAACUUUUCUGAACCAUGGUCAAAAGCUGACAUCAACGCUGACGUCACUAAUGACGUCACUCGUCUGCUCCGGCGAAACCUCUUUGGCGACUGGUUUUUCCGGCGAUAUUUCCGGCAACUUUGACCAAUCUUUUACCGGCGUUUUGGAGGUGUUCCCGUGGUCAAAAAAUCAUGAAAAACAUAUUUUCAAAAUCCUUGAAACGAGACCUUUCUAAUGGUGUACCCAGAAAUCGAUUUUGAGACAAAAAAAAUUUGACAAAAAAACAGAGAAAUUCGUGAAAAAAUCCCUGGACACCAAACCAAGCUUUGAUACCAGUUGUUGGGGUUGGAAAUCUCUUCUAUUUAACACUAAAAUAGAAUUACGAUAGGAGGAGCAACUCUCACACUCAACUACUACUAAAAACCAUCCCUCUCACUAACACUCUGACUCUAAGUGUUUUACUUUCUAUUUCUCUGUAUUUGGGAUGCUUACAACUGAAGAAUGAAGUCUCUAUUUAUAGUCUUGGCAGCCACCAUUGUAGUUGCCUUCAUUAACUGUGUUCAUCAUAGGGUUGAAAGACUUUGGCACCCUAGGUCUCAUUUUGUCAACAAAGGUGGCUACUGUAGCUUUGGAGACUAGAACACAACAAAAUGCACUCUCAAUGGAUCAAAGAAAUGGACAAAAACAACUCAACUUCAUUCACACUAUUCUCAGCAUCAACUUUUGUAAGAUCUUUCCCCACCCCCCCUUUUUCAACUUCUGCUCCUAUUUUUAUCAUAUUUAUAUAAGGAAAAUUCGAGGAAAUAGCAUAAGAUUUUCUCUUUUUUUGUUUGAAAGUAAUUUAGCUGGAUGAUUUUAGUAUUUAUGUAUGGAAUGCUCGAAGAUGAUGGUUAGUCUACACCAAAAAUCAAGCACAGGGAAACUUGUAUCAGUAAAAUAUGGCACUUCCAAAUAUGGCCAUGUGGCACGAACCCAGUCUCCAGCUCACUUUAUGUUGGAACCAAGAUUCUGGGAUUGAUUAUGAAAUUUAGGAGUUUGUUGAUGUUAAAGAAAACUGAGGUUUUUGAUGUCUUCAGAGCAAUGUAUAGCUGUUCUUAGGUUUUUUAGGAGUUCCUACAACUAUUUAGACCCGUUUGUUCUAUUUGUGUUUGAUGAUUUCUUAUUUAUAACUAACUAUCUGUGUUUACAAUGUUUCUAAGUAUUGUUUUAAUGAGAGAAGUAUAUGUUAUUAUCAAUGGUGUUCUUUGUUUAAACUGCAUUUUUUUGUGGCUAAUUGAAUGUUUGAUAGAGAAAAAACAUUAUGUUUCAGAAUCACAGUAAAAAACAUCAUAAUCCUAAAUAAAAAAUAGGAAACAUAGGUAAAGGAGUUUUGAGGGAAGGAUGGAAGGAAGGCAACAGAGACCGGUGAGGUCAAUAUAAUCGAAACACUAGCUUUAUUUUGGGAACUUUUUAUUUUCCAACUGAAUUGAGCGUGGAUUUGUGGGACACAUUUUGACUAUGGUUGUGGAGGUUUGUGUUUACCAAUUCGACACACACCUUUGAUAGUUAGAAGUUUGGUUCCUAUUUCAAACUAAAUUAGCAUCAUUUUUAUUCCCUCACACAUACACCAUUUGACACACACCGUUAACCUCCCUCAUGCAUGCAUGUAACAUCUUUCCACAACAAAACUUGGAUACACCUUUUGUUCUUAAUUUUCCUCAAAACAAAAUUACACUCUUUAUUAGUCGGGACACAAGAUUACGCCCCCUAUCUAUCAUGAUUAACCAAAACAAAGAACAAUAUAGAAUCUAACAUGUACAUAUCUAAUCUUGUACAUGUACAUCAUAGGAUCUAACUAGUUGCACGACAACGAAGACACUUAUAUCAAUAUAUAUGAUAAGCGUAUAUUGCAUAUUGUAAAGAAAUAGCUUGACCAGGGCUAAUCGGGUUUCCAUUAUUAACUCGAAAAUCACUUUAAGAGAUUCAUUUAAACAAGUUUGGGUUGAUUAGUCUAGCCGAUCUAAACCACCUACAACUCAAUUGAAUGUUUGAAAUGCUACAACUUCCUGGUAUACAUAUGUUUCAGGUUUUGGUUUGCAUUUUUAUUUUAUAACUUUUGGUUUUCAUUUGUUCUGGUUCUAUGAUUUUGGUUUCUAGUGUCAAUUUUCCAGCAAAGGUUAUGAUAGGUUGGGUGGUGGUGGUGGAGAAGAUGAUGAAGAGAACAUGGAAGGGAAAGGUGUAACAACCCGUUAUUUCAGGUCAUAAAAAUCGAGUCUUGUAACCUCUUUGAAAAGUAAUUAGAAUAUCAUCGAAAAAUGAAAUAUUCAAAAGCUCUGUUUGGGGUACACUAUGUAGUAUAUAUCGUCUUAAGGUUUCAAAACAUAUAAAGAACACUAAAAUCCGAGUUAUAACGAAGAAGUUAUGACCAUUCUAAGUUUUCCGACAAAAACCGGCAAUACGGAUAUACGUAAAAACGCGAAGUUUCGAUAAAAUACUUUUUGACCUUAGGUGUCUUAAUGAAAGUCAUAGAUAUCGUUAAACUGCAAACGUAUAUAAAAAGAACGCCCAAAUCUGACAUCGUAUGAAAAAGUUAUGAAUUAUUAACGAAUUUUCUUACCCCGACCUUUUAAAAAUAAAUAAUAAAAAUAAUUUCGGAAUUUGCCGACGGAAUCUAAACGAAAGUUGUAGAUCAUAGUCUUACCUACGCGUGGAUAUAAAGAACGUCGAAAACUGAUUUCGUAUGAAGGAGAUAUGAAAUUUUGAAGUUUGAUAAAUAAUUAAUAUAUAAAUUUAAUUCAAAAUUCGGUAUUAUCCGAAGGGUGAGUCACCGGGUCCAUCCGAGUUAUGCACGGCGUACCCUCUUACGCCCAGCGUACUCAAGGACUAGGCUCCGGUUCAUCCACGUCGCCCCUAUGCAAGGCUAUGCCCCGUCCCAUCCGAAGCCGAGGUAGUCGAGGACUCGGUCACGCAUGACGCACGAGUACGCCCCACGUACACUCGUACGCCCAGCGUACCGAGGCCUCUUAGCCCCUAUAAAAGGGAUGCGAGGGUUCCGGGGAAACUUGCUCAUUUUCUCUUGUUUUUCUUGCAUUUUUCCUCGUUUUCUGUGCAAUAUUUAUCCCGAAGUCCCGGUUCUCAUACUCAAGCCCUGAAGGAAGUUUUACGCUCCCAAGAUUCCCUAGAAUCCCGAGAAAAUCCGCUUUUUCAAGUCAAAGUUCUGCUCAGUUUUCGUCACACCUUCUUCAAUCUAUCAAGUGAGUUCAUACCCCUACAAACACACUUUAAAUACGCUUUUAAAUGCUUUUUAUACUCUUUUAGAGGGGGGGGGGGAAUACAAGUAAACAUACGGUUAUUAUCGUGUAUUUCAUAAAGUUUCACUUUACUCGUUUUUAUCAAAUGAAUCACUUGUGAUUCAUUACUACUAUGGAAAACUCUUGUCAUACUUUGCAUGCACUAGAUUUAUACAAAGUAUUUAGUAAUUUCAAAGUAUCUUUCGUUGCUAAACCGUUUUGUACAUUCUAAGAACUUAUGAUUUAUGCUUUGUCAAAUAUUGUGAAAAAGGAUAAACUUUGCAUACAAAACUAUUAUUUUAAUUCAGACUUAAUUGAGAAUCCGUGAGACGUGUACAUCUUCAAGUACUGCCUUUUGCUAAAAAAGGUAUUGCUACAAGUUCUGUCUAUAACCAUAGUCUCCCGUUCGGAGAACGUGUCAAAUGUGUAUAGAUCUAUACGGGAAGUCAUGAUCCCGCGCCCUGACUGUUAGCUACAGUCCGUCCUUUGGGGUGACAGGUUGUCAUAACGCUACAACGCCUGAAGAACGUCGCUACAGGCAUAUUAUGUUUAGUAUGGUUAUAAAACUCAUCGAAUAUACAAUUAUUAUAGUACUUCUGAUUCAUGAAUGAGUAGCUAUUAAAACUAUUCUUUAUCUAACAACUAAAAUCUUCUUAUAGGUUUUAUUAUAUAAAUCUAUGUUUCAAUCUUCUAAAGCAUGUUGAUUGCUUUCGGUUUUUAGUCUUGAACAUUAGAAAAACUAUUACUUUAGUAAAAUAUGGGAUUUUCCUGUAUACAAACCAAACAACUAAUAGGAAAAUAAGGGAUUUUCUUGAUUCAACUAUCCACAUUUUACCACAUCAAUAUUCUCGUGCAUUUCAUACUUUUAUAAGAAAAUAAGGGAUUUUCUUGGAAAACAUACACUCAUUUUGGAAUGGCAUUCAAUUUUUCUAAACCACUUAUGAACUCACCAAAUUAAUUGUUGACACUUUCUCUUUGAAAUAACUUGUAUUCUCAGGGAACCGCUAAGCAGGUUGGAAACCAACUUUUGGGGAUUAACGCGCUGGCGUUAAUUAUUUCUUUUGAAAGAUGUUUAUGUAUUUAUCUUUUGAACAUGUAAUGAAUACCAUUAUGUAAACAUUUUUAAAACCUUUAUAUAUGUAUGGUGAUGUGUACUUUCCUUUCUAUGAACUGUUAUGAUACUGAAUAUGACGUCCUCCGCCCCCGAACGUUUCUGCCGUUCUGGUUUGGGGGUGUGACAGAUUGGUAUCAGAGCAUUGUUUAUAGGGAAUUAAGUAUAUCAAAACCAUUUCUUUUUGGUAUACAACUAUCACACCCCCAAAACAGAAUGGCGAAAACAUUCGGGGGUGGAUUACUUCACGUAGUAUCACAACAAUUGAAUAUUGUAAAGAAAGUAACACAACCAUCAUAUAUAUAAUGAAAACAUAUAUUGUUGCGUUAUACAUGUNCAUCACAUAUAUAAUGAAAACGUAUGUUGUUGCGUUAUACAUAAUAGCAAAAGAAUAUUACAAUGAGAUGAUAAAUGUUCAAUAAUAAAACAUCUUUAGUGGUUCCUUCUCCAAAAGCUGGUGGUUACCUGUAUUACUGAUUCCCUGAGAAAUACAAGUGGUUUCGAAAAAGUGUCAACAAUUAAGUUGGUGAGUUCAUAAGUGUUUUGCAUUGAAAAGUAUGUCCUUUUUGAUAGUAAAUCGAUGAACGAGGUUUUCAGAAAAUCCAAUAUUUUCUAUAAAUGAUUUGAAUAGUUUCCAGAGUUGGUGUGUGUUAGUAUGUUCCAUACUAGAAUAAUAAUGAUAACUUUGUGCCAAAAUAAUGUAGCAAACUGAAUGCAUAUAUGAUUCUCGUAAAUCAAACUUGUUUUUAUACUUUUAUGUGAGUUUUAUAACCAUACUAUUGACACUGACGGCCUGUAACAACAUUCUUCAGGUGUUGUAGUGUUAUGACAUUUGUCACCCCAGACCUGCCGGUCUAACUAUAGCUAAUAGUUUAGGUGCGGGGUUGUCAAUCCCGUAUAGAUCUAUACACAAGUAUCACGCUCUCUCUCCAAGAGAUUAUGGUAUAUAAUACAGGACUAGAAAUGAAUACAUACGAGUACGUUGAAGUUUGAAUGUCUCACAUUACUUGGUAUAAACAGAUUUACGAUAAUAAAGACUUUACUUCUUUUGAAAGUAUUUCGUUUGUCAAGAUGUAUAUGUAUAAUGCACGAAUAACUUGAUAACUAUAUCCAUUAUAGUUUCUUAAAAGUAUGUUUCCAUUUUGUAAGAACAACUUGGUGAUAUAAUAGCCCUUUAAACAUAAAGAUAUUUGUAUCAAAGCCCUAUAAGAAAGGUAUUAUAACUAUGUUUAUAAAACGAUACUUUGAUUUGUAAUGUACUUGUAUUCCCCCCUAAAAUGUGAAAAGAAUUGAAAAGUAGGGGUAUGAACUCACUCGUUAAGUUUGAAGAGAGAGGCUAGGGUUGAGCAGAACUUCGACCGCGGAUAGUUGCGUCGUCGGGCUCUUCGGGGAUCUCUGCAGCGUAAAUCUUUCGUCGGGGGCUCGAGUGCGGAAACCUAGGUGAGGGAAUGGUCUCUGGAGCUUAGAUGUAUGGGAGAAUGACUGAGGAAUUGUGAAUGGUGUGAAAAAACUCGAAGCUUAUGCCAUCUAUUUAUAGUGUUGGAGGAGUGAGUACGUGGGGCGUAAUUUUGGAGUACGCAGCGCGUACAUCGUUACGCUGGGCGUAAGAAUGCGUCAUGGCUUACGACUCCGGGCUAGCUAAGCGUAGAGGGGGCGGGCCGAUGGGACUCGACUCUGGGUCUAGUACGCGGGGCGUACUCCCAGAGAACGCGGGGCGUAAUCCGGCCUGUCCUCUUCUAAAUUCCGUAACUUUCGCGUACGAGCUCCGUUUUUCGUGUUCUUUAUAUCCACGCGUAGGUGAGAUUAUGCUCUACAACUUUCAUUUAGACUCCGUCGGCUAGUUUUGACUUUAUUUUUAAUGACAUAAUUUUAAAUAGGCCGGGCCUCCUAAAGUCCGUUAAAAAUUUAUAGGUUCUUUAUUCGGCAUCGGUUUUCGUUUGUCUUUUUAUCGUUUUAUUACUACUGUGGAGAUCUUCAACUUCCGUUUAGGUGGCGAUAGCUAAAUAACACUCAAUCUUCAAUUUGAGUUUUUAGCCCUCUACUACUGUUACGAAACUUAGGAAAUUCGUAACUUCUUCAUGCGAAGUCCAAUUUGGGCGAUCUUUUUAUGCACGCUCACCUCUCAACAAGAUCUACGACUUUUGUUUAGAUACUUAAGGCUAAAAUGCAUUUUAUUGAGAUUUUACUUUUUACGUCAAUUAAUGUUUUAACGGCGUGUCGUAAAUAUACGAGUGGUUAUAAUUUCUUCAAUAUAACCCGGUUUUGAGUGUUCUCUAUAUUUUUGGAAACCUUGGCAUGAUAUCUAAUAUUUGAUGCAACACAACUUAGAUAAAUAAAUGCCUUUAUUUUUUAGGUUAAUUUCGUUGUAUUUGACUUUUGAGCGUUACAAUGCUUUUGGAAAGUAUAGGGUUGUCACAUCAACUAUAAACUCAACUUGUCACACCCCCAAACCAAGGAUGGCGGAAACGUACAGGGAUGGAGGACUUCAUGUAGAGUAUCACAACAACGAGUAUAAUAGUGCUCAAAGUAAAUACAACCAUCACAAAUAUAAUUGAAAAAGUUACACCAAAGUAUAUGUUUACAUGAUUCGAAUCAAUUACAUUAUGAUACAAAAUUAACUGUUUGACGAUUUAUCGUCCCAUCCUCAAAACAUGGUUGAAUUCCUGAUUCAUUGAAUUCCUGAGAAUACAAGUAGUUUGAAAAAGCGUCAACACAAAGGUUGGUGAGUUCAUAAGCUUUUGUCGGUAAGAGUUUGAAAAUCAAUCUUUGUAAAGAGAUGUAUGUUACCAAGAAAAAUCUAAUAUUUUCCUUAUAAAAGUAAUGUGGUCCUAAAUACCAGGACCGAAAUGAAUAAGUAUUUUGUCAUACUUAAAGCUAUAAUCGUGGUUUUAAACUAACAUAAAAACCCCUUUUGAUAUGAAGACGUACAAGUAUUUUUUCAUACUUAAAGUAAUUUCAGUGAGCUAAAUCGACAUAACUCGCUAAAUUAAAGUUAGAACUCGUAAAUCUUAUGAUUUGUUAAUACCACAUGUGAGCUAUCAUAAUCAUACUUGACAUUGACGGCCUUGUAAUUACGACGUUCUUCAGGCGUCGGAACUGUUAUGACACUUGUCACCUCAGACCUACCGGUCUAGCUGUUGCAAGCAGCUCUGGUGUGGGUUUGUCAAGCCCAAUAUAGAUCUAUACACAACUAUCACGUUCUCCCUACAAGAGACUCUGGUUACGAUUUACAAGACUUUUUGAAUUGGUUACUUUGGAAGUAACCCGAAGCGAAUGACUCACAAAUUUAUUCAUUAACAGAUUUACGUGAACUAAACUGAAAACCUUUGGUAUAUAAGUUUGAGAAGUAAAUGAUACAUAAACUAUACCUAUUAUAGUUUAUCCAAAACAUUUUUAAAGUAUGAAAACUCUUUUAUGAAAACGCUUUUGUGAUGAAUUUACACUUAACAAAAUGAAAGUUCCCUUUUGUAUAAAUGUACCCUUCUGAAAGUAUAUUUGUAUUAUGUAUGUAUCAUAAACUAUACCAUUUAUAGUUUAUCAAAAUAAGGGUAGGAAUAGUAAAGUACAUAAACUAUACUUAACAUAGUUUAAUAAUGCAUUUGUAUGUAAGGGUGUACUUUAAUUAUAACACUUGGUUAUUUCUAUGCAUUAUCUAGUAAAAAUUCAUUUGUUAACUGGUGUAUAUCUAUAUAUGAAUACAAAAAUGUCACAUACUACAAUAUCACAUGAUCACAUAAUGAUUUAUACCUUGCUCAACAUGUUACAAGGUGAUAUGAAAUUUAUUGUGUUUUUCUAUUUAUAACAAUUUCUGUAACUGUUAUUGGAAAAUUUGUAGAAAAAUCAUAAAAUGUCCAAAUCAAGUUCUGUAACUUCUGAGAGUUUGGAAAAUGAGUCUAGUUGGUUCAUAAAUUUUUCCAUAAUUUUUAGGGACCUCUAACUUGUGUAACCAAGUCCAUAAUCACAGAAUGCUCCGGAUUGGUGUUUGAGAUGAUAAGCAGUUUUGUAAAAAUCACCAUAAAUUGUAGAAAAAUCGUAUGGAGAUGUGCAAGUAGUCAUUUUAAAUCUAAGAACUGGAACUACUUACACCUAAAACAGUUUUGUAAACAAAAAUGUUUAAGUUGUCCAAAACAGUCCGUGAAUGGAGUUGAACUUUUCUGAUGAAGGCUGUUAGAAAAGUUUAGUUAUGUUCUUGGUGUUUUAACUUGUAUUCCCCCCCUAAAAACUUGAGAAAACAUGAAAAUAUAGGGGUAUGAACUCACCUUGAGUGAUUUCAGUAGGUAAGUGUUGAAGAAGAGAAGUGUUCAACCCAAGAACACUUGAAGAUUCGAAGAUCUAACAAGAAUGUGAUGAUGUUUGUGUAAGCAAUCUAUGAUUUUGAGUAGGAGGAUGUGUAUUAAUCAUAAGAAAGAUGAUGAUACUUACUAAUUGUAGGAGAAAAGUCUUGGAGUAUGCCUUGAAAUUCUCGAAUUGGAGAGAGAAAGAUGAGAGAGUUUGGAGUGUGGUUCUUGGUGAAAAAUGAGAGAAUGAAUGAAGUGUGAGGAGAGAGGGUGGAUGUUCCAGCCCUAAGUAUGUGGGAAUAGUUGAAAAUAAUGAGAAAGGACCUAUGAAGUGACUAGGGAUGGGCUGGUGGUGAAUAGUGACAUGGAGUGGGUAUGGGAGUGGUUGCUUGUGUCAUAGAAAUAAGUAAAGUCAACACUCUACCUUUGUACUUCACCCACUCUCUUUUGGAUAAGGUUUUAUCCUUAAAAAUGUGAUUAAUUAAUAGUUAAGGGUCCUUAUAUGUUAAAAUAAAGUUUUGGGUGAAAAUCCCAUGUUAAAACAAUUAAAAACGGGCCUAAAACGCGAAUUUAGUCGAAAACCGGGAGAAAAAGCGUUCCCAGCGAGACCUCUCGGUCCUAGGCCGAGGUUCGGUCCUUGCUGGUGCUGAGCCGGAAGCGAAGUGCGAACCAGAAGAAGAAGGCGAAGGCGAGGGGCUCAGUCCGAAGGCUCGGUCCGAAGGGUCAGAAGCGAAGGUUCGGUUCGGUUCUUUGAGUGAGGUUCGGUUCGGUUCUUUGAGUGAGGUUCGGUUCGGUUCUUUGAGUGAGGUUCGGUUCGGUUCAUCGAGUGAGGUUCGGUUCGGUUCAUUGAGUGAGGUUCGGUUCGGUUCAGCAACCUUCUUCAUCAGGAGGGUUCGGUUCCUAAGGGGAGUUUCGGUUCCUAAGAGGGGUUUCGGUUCCUAAGGUCCGUUUUUCGCGUAGACUUCCGUUUUUGGGCUGUUUUCGCCAAAUUCGAGGGUCGGGAUGCCCCGAGUGAUUAUAGAAAGUUGGGAGAGAUUUCGAGAGAGAUUUGAGAGAGAUUCCACAUACUCAGAGAGAUUUGGGAGAGAUUUCACAUUCUUAGAGAGAUUUGAGAGAGAUUUGACAUUCUUGGAGAGAUUUCUCAUUCAGAGAGAUAUUUUGGAGAGAUUUCACAUACUUAGAGAGAUUUGGGAGAGAUUUGACAUACUUGGAGAGAUUUCACAUACAAAGAGAUAUUUGGGAGAGAUUUCACAUUCUUAGAGAAAUUUGGGAGAGAUUUCUCAUACAAAGAGAGAUUUGGGAGAGAUUUCACAUACUUAGAGAGAUUUGGGAGAGAUUUCACAUUCUUGGAGAGAUUUCUCAUUCAGAGAGAGAUUUGGGAGAGAUUUCACAUUCUUGGAGAGAUUUCUCAUUUAGAGAGAGAUUUGGGAGAGAUUUUACAUACUUAGAGAGAUUUGGGAGAGAUUUCACAUUCUUGGAGAGGUUUCUCAUUCAGAGAGAGAUUUGGGAGAGAUUUCACAUACUUAGAGAGAUUUGCGAGAGAUCCUUGGAGAGAUUUCUGAUAAGAAGUGAUGGAGUGAAAAGGAUUGAGAGUGGUUUUGUGUGUUACGAAUGUGAGUGUCCGGCUUCGUUGUGCAGGGUCCGUAAACCCCGUUAAGCCUUGUUUAAGGAUCUUACACACUCCCGAUGAGUAUGCAACAUUGUUUUAUCGGUUUGGCUCGUCACUUACCAUAGAUUUGGGUUAAGGAGAUCUAGAUGUACGCACUUUUCGAUUUAUGAUCUCUCAUUAGAAUAAAGAGUUGUUUAGAAAUUACAUAACGUAAACUCUAGUACCUACAGGCAAAUUGAGUUGACCGGUUUGACUUGUUGACUUUAGUUGACUUUGAUUUGAUCGAAAAUUGACGGUUAUCACACAACUGGGCAAAAACACUCCGAGAAGAGUCAUACUUUUGAAAUUAAAUUUAUUUAGUUUUUGUAAAGUAGGAAUGCACUCAUUUCAUACUAAUAACAGUUUCAUAUCGGAUCAUUUUAGAAGUAUUAUAAAUAAGUUGUGCAGUGCAGGUACGCCUUGGGACAUGUAAUCGGAACUGGGAAGAAUAUAGCCUGAUCAACUAUAUUUGUCCGAGAGCCGACUAACGUAUUCCAAGGAGUAUCUGCAAUGGACAACAAAUUUAAAACUUACCAAAAGCAUAUCGUUAAAUAAUACUAAGGGGGUAUUUGAGUAUCAGCAACCAUUAAACUUAAAGGUAAAUUUCAUGUGCUCUAGCUUCUAGUAAAUUCUUAACCCUAUUCUCGUACAGACUCAAUGGCUGGAUUCCAUCACCCCAAUUACCCCUACUACCCCAACGAAGGUAAUGGAGGAUGGAUCGAAGAAGAUCCUGAAGAAGACGAAGAGCCUAUAGACGUUCAUGUGAGGAACUUUCAAGGACCCACUCCUGUGUGGGGGAGUCAGCUCCACCAUUGGAGCCAACAACAAAGCUUACGACCUCCCUACGGCAUGUGCCGAGAUUUCUAUGAUGUCAGAGGCGGGGGUUCGGCAGACCGAGCACUCCUGGUCAUGGUUGGCAAAAUAGCCAACCGGUGCUAUCAAUCCGGAGUUCAAGCCAACCGGAUCUGCGAGGUCAAUGUGGAAGUGCAAGUGCACACUUCCGACAUCCGCUGUUUGGACAAGUUGCAAGGGUAUGGCCUAGACCGCACUAAGGGAACAACAAGUCGCGUUUGAUAGGCGCCUCAUGGAGUCAAAGCAGUCCGGCACAGAGUCAAGCUCCAAGCGCAAACCACAUCGCAAGUAGUACAUGCCGACUUUCAAAUUUUGUUAUAAAUUAGGACUUCGGAUAAAAGUAUUAUUUUCUUUAAACUUUCUGUAAUCGGAGACCUUUAGAAAGAUCAAAAACUUUUGUCUAAACUCGGAUGUAACACAACUAUAUGUUUAAUAUAUAUAGGGCAUAUCUCUUUCGUGUGUUAAUUAUGUGCAGUUCAUAAGUAUAUCUAUUCAAACUCCAUUUGUAAAUCAAGCUCAAGACCCUGUGUUGGUCAAACUAAAUUCUUGAUCUAUUAAAGAAAGUUAACUCAAUAUCAUUCAACUCUCAACUACCAAAAAUUAUAAUCUCUCAUUUUCUUUUGGCAGCGCGAUGCCUCCUUGUCCAAACCUAAGACCCAGACCGGGCACGACACCACCACCACCUCCACCACCAACGUAUGAUCCGACCAUGGUCCAGGCUGUUAUCACAGCAGCUCUCUCGCAAAUAAACUCCAAUGGAAAUGGAGGUACAGGAAGCAACACGAAUCAUUCCAAUCGUGGCACUGGUCAUGGUCAAGUAAGGGAAUGUACUUACAAGGAGUUCUCCAACUCAAAGCCAAAGACUUUUAAUGGCAUUGGAGGAGUCAUUGCACUAAUUCAAUGGUUCGAAAAGACCAAAACAGUCUUCGAGAUCUGCUCAUGCCAAUAAACAAGCAAGGUUAAGUUCGCUGCUUGCACCUUCAUAGAUCGAGCCCUCACUUGGUGGAAAAGCCAUGUGAAUUCGGUGACACUCACUGUCGCCAACACCAUAAGUUGGGAGGAUCUGAAGGUUCUACUACUGGAAGAAUACUGCCCAAGGGGCAAAGUCCAAAAUCUUGAGUAAGAGCUCUGGAAUCUGAAGAUGACUGGGUCUGAUCUAGUCGCCUACAUAGCUAGGUUCAAUGACCUUGGUGCAUUAUGCCCUACCAUGGUCAACCCAGAAUCAAAGAAGGUUGAAAGGUACAUUUAGGGGUUGUCACCCCAGAUUCAAGGGCAUGUCCUAGCUUCCAACCCUAUUACCUACAACAAUGCUAAACACCUGGCUCAGCGACUCAUCAACCACGGGGUAAAACAGGGUACCAUUGCAGCUACCACAAAUCCAUCUUAGGAGGCAUAGGGCCAGAGUAGGCCUUGAAACAAGAGAAGGGGACAAACCCUACAGGAGAACCCCAAGAAACAACAAGUAGUAGUAACCCACGCUGUUACUGUACCUACCAACACUGCCCCCACAAGCUCAUACAAUGGGAAACUUCCGAAAUGUAACCAAUGUGACUUCCACCACCACGGUCUCUGCCGUGAUCUUCAAUGCACUAGGUGUAAUCAGAAGGGGCAUACAGCCCGCUACUGCAAAGAGCCAAGUCAACAAUCCCCCCCUACUGCCAAUACCGGAGUAAGCCGUGCCUGCUUUGAGUGCGAAGACACGGGGCACUACCGCAGGGACUGCCCGAAGGCAAACAACAGGAAUACCGGCGGAAGGGGCCAAGUAUUCGCAAUGGGACAAGAUGAAGCCGUUGCGGACCCCACUGCUGUUACGGGUACAUUUCUUCUCGAUAACUCGUAUGCAUGCAUUUUGUUUGAUAGUGGAGCAGAAAGGAGUUUUGUGAGUCACGACUUUAAAGGCAUGCUAAAACCAAUACCACAAUCAUUAAGUGAACCGUUCAUAGUAGAAAUGGCCAACGGGAAAACCGAAGGAACUAAGGAGAUAUACUUAAACUGUACCCUAACUCUAAACGAUAAUCCCUUUCCAAUCAACCUCAUGCUAGUCUCGAUUAAGAGUUUCGAUGUCAUCAUUGGCAUGGAUUGGCUGAGUUCUCAUCAUGCGGACAUUUUAUGUUACGAUAAGGCCGUUCGCCUUAAUCUGCCAACCGACGAAACUUUCAUUGUCUUGGGCGACAAACCUAGUACAACUCUUCGUAUCAUCUCAAGUAUCCAAGCUCAGAAGUGCCUACGCAAGGAGUAUCAUGCGUUUUUGGCACAUGUCGUGGAUGUGAAACGCAAAGUCCAGGAUGUCAAGAAUGUACCUGACGUAUGUGAUUUUCCCGAGGACGUUCCAGGAAUACCACCCAUGAGACAAGUCGAGUUCAGAAUCGAUCUGGUUCCGGGAGCUACCCCAGUAGCCAAAGCGCCCUAUCGAUUAGCCCCGGAGGAGAUGCAGGAGCUAUCCAGCAACUGAAUGANGUACACUUAGGAAGUGUUAGAAUGCUCAAAACCCAUCAAAGGAUUCAUCAGGCCGAGCUUCUCACCAUGGGGAGCACCCGUGUUAUUCGUGAAAAAGAAGGAUGGAUCAUUCAGGAUGUGCAUCGACUACCGAGAACCCAACAAACUUACCAUCAAGAACCAAUAUCCCCUAACCCGAAUCGACGACUUAUUCGACCAACUCCAAGGAGCCAACUUCUUCUCCAAGAUCGACCUGAGAUCGGGAUAUCACCAGCUACGAGUCCUGGAGAGCGAUGUUCCCAAGACGGCUUUCCGAACAAGAUACGGACAUUACGAGUUUGUAGUGAUGUCGUUCGGACUAACCAAUGCCCCGACCGUAUUCAUGGAUCUAAUGAAUCGGGUGUGUCGUCCAUUCUUGGAUAAAUUUGUGAUAGUAUUCAUAGACGACAUACUCAUUUAUUCAAAGAAUAAAGAAGAGCAUAGUCAACAUCUGAGACAAGUCUUAGAGACGUUACGAACUAAGAGACUUUAUGCAAAGUUCUCAAAAUGCGAGUUUUAGAUUAGAAAGGUGGACUUCCUCGGUCACGUGGUCAGCAAGGAAGGAAUCCACGUGGACCCAUAAAAAAUCAAGGCUAUCAAAAAUUGGUCUGCACCAAUUACACCAACAGAGAUUUGCCAAUUUCUAGGUCUUGCUGGUUAUUAUCGAAGGUUCAUUCAGAACUUCUCCAGCAUCGCAAAGCCUCUUACCGUGUUAACUCAGAAAGGUGUGACCUACAACUAGGGAGAAAAACAAGAUGCUGCAUUUUAGACUCUGAAACAGGCCCUUUGCAGUGCGCUUAUUCUUUCUCUUCACGAGGGGACCGAAGAUUUUGUGGUGUAUUGCGACGCUUCGAAGCAAGGGCUGGGCUAUGUACUAAUGCAGAGAGGAAAGGUUAUUGCAUAUGCCUCACGACAACUGAAAACGCAUAAAGUCAACUACACCACUUAUGACCUAGAACUUGGAGCGGUGGUCUUCGCUCUGAAAAUAUGGAGGCACUACCUAUACGGGACCAAGUGCACCAUCUUUACAGACCACAAGAGCCUUCAACACAUCUUCGACUAGAAGGAGUUAAACAUGAGACAGCGACGUUGGGUCGAAUUGCUCAAUGACUACGAAUGUGAGAUUCGCUAUCAUCCGGGAAAGGCAAAUGUCGUGGCCAAUGGCUUUAGUCGUAAGGAGUACUCUGGCCGAAGAGUGAAGUCAUUAGCCAUGUCGAUCUAUUCGCACCUAUCAGCACAAGUCAAGGAAGCUCAAAUAGAGGCCUUGAAACUCAAAAACGUGACAAGUGAGACCCUUAGGGGAAUGGACAAGAACUUAGAAAUCAAGAGUGACAGAGUACGCUACCUCAUGAACCGAAUCUGUACACCCAAGUUUGGUGGGUUCAGAGAGGUAGUUCUGAGCGAAGCACACAAGACUCCAUACUCUGUGCACCCAGGGUCAUAUAAGAUGUAUCUAGACCUAAAGCAACUCUACUGGUGGCCAAACAUGAAAGCAGAGAUUGCUACCUAUGUGAGCAAGUGCUUGACUUGCGCCAAGAUAAAAAUAGAACACCAGAAACCCUCAGGUCUACUCCAGCAACCUGAAAUAUCAGAGUGGAAAUGGGAACAAAUUUCCAUGGACUUCAUAACAAAACUGCCCAAAACUCAGGGUGGCCAAGAUACUAUUUGGGUUAUCGUCGACAGACUAACCAAGUCCGCUCAUUUCUUACCGAUCAAGGAAACUGAUAUGAUGGAAAAACUAUCGAGAACCUACAUCCGAGAGAUCGUACGACUUCAUGGAGUGCCAAUGUCUAUCAUCUCGGACAGAGAUAGCAGAUUCACUUCCAGAUUCUGGCAAUCAUUGCAAAAAUCCAUGGGAACAAGGUUGGAUAUGAGUAUAGCCUAUCACCCACAAACUGACGGACGGAGUGAUAGAACGAUCCGAACCUUGAAAGACAUGUUGCGAGCAUGUGUAAUCGACUUUGGUAAAGCAUGGGAUGUUCACUUACCUUUAGUCGAGUUCUCUUAUGACAAUAGUUAUCAUACUAGUAUCAAGACUGCUCCAUUUGAAGCCCUUUACGGCCGCAAGUGUAAAUCACCUCUGUGCUGGACGGAAGUAGGCGACAUGCAGUUGGCAAAAGGUCUAGUCCCUGAUAGCACCCUCACUGGUCUGGAGAUCAUCAGAGAAACGAAUGAAAAGAUCGUGCAAAUACGAGAGCGACUGAAAUCCUCAAGGGAUAGGCAAAAGAGUUAUGCCGACAAAAGAUAGAAACCCUUGGAAUUUUUGAUUGGUGACCGUGUACUGCUAAUGGUCUCACCCUGGAAGGGCAUGAUACGCUUUGGAAAGCGUGGGAAGCUAAAUCCUAGGUACAUUGGACCCUUCGAAAUCAUUUCAAGAAUUGGUCCAGUGGCUUACAAACUCCAACUUCCAAUCGAGCUUAACAAAGUACAUCCAGUAUUCCACAUAUCGAACCUGAAAAAGUGUUUGUCCGACGAAACACUUGUAAUUCCACUCGACGAAAUCGAACUUAACGAAAAUCUUAACUUUGUGGAAGAACCCGUCGAGAUCAUGGAUAGGGAAGUUAAGCGAAAUAAACAGAUUCGCAUACGAAUAGUAAAGGUCCGUUGGAAUGCUAAGAGGGGACCUGAGUUCAUGUGGGAACGAGAAGAUCAGAUGCAACAGAAGUAUCCGCAUCUUUUCCUUAGCCCCUCAAACUUUUCUCUUGUAUUUAAUUUUGGGACAAAAUUCCCUCUAACGGGGGGAUGAUGUAACAAUCCGUUAUUUCAGGUCAUAAAAAUCGAGUAUUGUAACCUCUUUGAAAAGUAAUUAGAAUAUCAUCGAAAAAUGAAAUAUUCAAAAGCUCUGUUUGGGGUACACUAUGUAGUAGAUAUUGUCUUAUGGUUUCCAAACAUAUAAAGAACACUAAAAUCCGAGUUAUAACGAAGAAGUUAUGACCAUUCUAAGUUUUCCGACAAAAAACCGGCAAUACGGAUAUACGUAAAAACGCGAAGUUUCGAUAAAAUACUUUUUGACCUUAGGUGUCUAAAUGAAAGUCAUAGAUAUCGCUAAACUGCAAACGUACAUAAAAAGAACGCCCAAAUCUGACAUCGUAUGAAAAAGUUAUGAAUUAUUAACGAAUUUUCAUACCCCGACCUUUUAAAAAUAAAUAAUAAAAAUAAUUUCGGAAUUUGCCAACGGAAUCUAAACGAAAGUUUUAGAUCAUAGUCUUACCUACGCGUGGAUAUAAAGAACGUUGAAAACGGAUUUCGUAUAAAAGAGAUAUGAAUUUUUGAAGUUUGAUAAAUAAUUAAUAUAUAAAUUUAAUUCAAAAUUUGGUAUUAUCCGAAGGGUGAGUCACCGGGUCCAUCCGAGUUAUGCCCGACGUACCCUCGUACGCCCAGCAUACUCAAGGACUAGGCUCCGGUUCGUCCACGUCGCCCCUAUGCGAGGCUAUGCCUCGUCCCAUCCGAAGCUGAGGCAGUCGAGGAUUCGGUCACGCAUGACGCACGAGUACGCCCCGCGUACACUCGUACGCCUAGCAUACCGAGGCCUCUCAGCCCCUAUAAAAGGGAUGCGAGGGUUCCGGGGAAACUUGCUCAUUUUCUCUCGUUUUUCUUGCAUUUUGCCUCGUUUUCCGUGCAAUAUUUAUCCCGAAGCCCCGGUUCUCAUACUCAAGCCCCGAAGGAAGUUUUACGCUCCCAAGAUUCCCUAGAAUCCCGAGAAAAUCCGCUUUUUCAAGUCAAAGUUUUGCUCGGUUUUCGUCACACCUUCUUCAAUCUAUCAAGUGAGCUCAUACCCCUACAAACACACUUUAAAUACGCUUUUAAAUGCUUUUUAUACUCUUUUAGGAGGGGGGGGGAUACAAGUAAACAUAUGGUUAUUAUCGUGUAUUUCAUAAAGUUUCACUCUACUCGUUUUUAUCAAAUGAAUCACUUGUGAUUCAUUACUACUAUGGGAAACUCUUGUCAUACUUUGCAUGCACUAGAUUUAUACAAAGUAUUUAGUAAUUUCAAAGUAUCUUUCGUUGCUAAACCGUUUUGUACAUUCUAAGAACUUAUGAUUUAUGCUUUGUCAAAUAUUGUGAAAAAGAAUAAACUUUGCAUACAAAACUAUUAUUUUAAUUCAGACUUAAUUGAGAAUCCGUGAGACGUGUACAUCUUCAAAUACUGCCUUUUGCUAAAAAAGGUAUCGCUACAAGUCCUGUCUAUAACCAGAGUCUCCCGUUCGGAGAACGUGUCAAAUGUGUAUAGAUCUAUACGGGAAGUCAUGAUCCCGCGCCCUGACUGUUAGCUACAGUCCGUCCUUUGGGGUGACAGUUUGUCAUAACGCUACGACGCCUGAAGAACGUCGCUACAGACAUAUUAUGUUUAGUAUGGUUAUAAAACUCAUCGGAUAUACAAUUAUUAUAGUACUUCUGAUUGAUGAAUGAGUAGCUAUUAAAACUAUUCUUUAUCUAACAACUGAAAUCUUCUUAUAGGUUUUAUUAUAUAAAUCUAUGUUUCAAUUUUCUAAAGCAUGUUGAUUGCUUUCGGUUUUUAGUCUUGAACAUUAGACAAACUAUUACUUUAGGAAAAUAUGGGAUUUGCCUGUAUACAAACCAAACAACUAAUAGGAAAAUAAGGGAUUUUCUUGAUUCAACUAUCCACAUUUUACCACAUCAAUAUUCUCCUGCAUUUCAUACUUUUAUAAGAAAAUAAGGGAUUUUCUUGGAAAACAUACACUCAUUUUGGAAUGGCAUUCAAUUUUUCUAAACCACUUAUGAACUCACCAACUUAAUUGUUGACACUUUCUCUUUGAAGUAACUUGUAUUCUCAGGGAACCGCUAAGCAGGUUGGAAACCAACUUUUGGGGAUUAACGCGCUGGCGUUAAUUAUUUCUUUUGAAAGAUGUUUAUGUAUUUAUCUUUUGAACAUGUAAUGAAUACCAUUAUGUAAACAUUUUUAAAACCUUUAUAUAUGUAUGGUGGUGUGUACUUUCCUUUAUAUGAACUGUUAUGAUACUGAAUAUGACGUCCUCCGCCCCCGAACGUUUCCGCCGUUCUGGUUUGGGGGUGUGACAAAAGGAGAGAGGUGGAAGGAUGAUAGGUUGUGGUGGUGUAACGACACAAAAAUCAAGGGUAAAAGUUUCAUUUUUACUGUAGUUAAAACACAGAUAUCGCUUAAUCCAAACAUUCCAACAACAUUGCUAAUUAAAAACAUUUAUCAGAGUUCUUCCCAAAAUCACACACUAUGGAAAACACGAGUGUGUGCGCUGCGAUCAAGCCAGACUUUUUCUUUCCAAACCGAUGAUACCUAGAACCAUAAACAAAACUAUAAGCACGAAGCUUAGUGAGUUCCCCAGAGCACACCCCACAUAAUCACAUAAAUCAUAUAAUCACAUAAGCCAUGCAUAUAAACAUAUAAGGAAGCCAUGGAAACCCUCCAAGGUCUUAAUCUGGGUGCCAUGGGAACCCCACAUGCUCUGAGCCCAACUACCAUAUAAACCAUACAUACAAACAUAUAAGGAUGCCCUGGAAACCCUCCAGGGUCUUACUCUGGGUGUCAUGGGAACCCCCACAAAGUCUUAGCCCAAUGCAUCGAGAACCCCCCGAGGUAUUAACUAAGGAUUCCAUGGAAACCCUCCAAGGUAUUACACCCUAGUGCCUUGGGAACCCCCCGAGGUCUUUACUUAGGAUGCCAUGGAAACCCUCCAAGGUCUUACACCCAAGUGUCUUGGGAACCCUCUGAGGCCUUUCAUCCAAGUAUCACAAAUACAACAAGCAUACCACAUACCACAUAAUCAACUAGCAUACCACAUAGCAAAUAAUGGGCCGACGUUGGUGCCUUUGACCCAUUGGUAUGGUGAUGAGACUUACCUCGAAUGAAGAAGCUCCCCGAAUGAAAUCCUUAGCUGCUGCCCCGUCGGCUUCCCGAGCUAUGAAUACCACUCAAUAUACCCAGUUAGCAAUAAGGUCCCAUACUAUAACCCUUAAUCCAUACAUGGGGUAAAAUGACCAUUCUACCCCUGUCCAAGUACGAUCCAAAACUAAGGCCCAAACCCAAAACAAAAGCCCAACACUAUAAUAUCCAUAAAUCCAUUAAUGGCCCAAAUUUCCAAAUUGGGCCCAUACCUCUACACGGGUCUUGCCAUGAGGCCCAAUCCUUCUUUACAAUUCAGCACACUUAUAUUCUGAUGUCCUACUAAUAGUCCAAACACUUAAGCCCAAAAUGCUAAAAACCACUCGUGGCCCAAUCCAUGGCUCAAUUUUCCAAAUUAGGCUCAAGUCCUUCCGGGACCUUUUCAUCAUCACUAACAGCCCAAAACCAGAUGGCCCAACAUGGCCAAAGACAAACAAGCCCAAGAGCUGGCCCACACCAAAGCCCAAUACUCAUAACUCUAGCUGACUUAGUAUGCAGGGCGUACUUAGCUGUACACUAAGCGUACAAGCUGUUUGGCUUGUAGGCCCAAUGUACUACUCCUUUAAGCCAAAGUCUCAUUAAGCUCUUAAUGCUCGAUCCAACAAGUCCAAAUCACAAAUCUACUUCUAAAUGAACAACUAGAACCAUAAAGUCACUAACUUGGUGACUUUACAUGCCCCAAAAAGUCCAAAUAGCAUUCUACUUUCAUGGAAAUGACUCAAACUCCAACGUAGAUGGUCUUAAAUUUUAAAGGUACCAACUUUAUGGACCUUAAACCUCAGAAACACUAAGAGGGGCACCUCAAAGCUCCUGGAAUCUAGACCACCAGAUCUCAUCCUUGGGACCAAAAUGAACUAAAACUCACAAAUGAGAGAUCUAAGAUAUCAAUGAUAAAGUUCAUAGCUUUAUACCUUCAUCAAGCUGACAAUGAGUCCCAAAAGACAGAUCUAUAAGCUUCUCCUCGAUCCCCAUUCUUUGCAUCAAACUCCACCUUCUUGAAAAUAGACCAAACACUCCAAAAAUGGACUUCAUAAUCUCAAAAUUCCACCACGAAUGAUUAAGGACGAUUUCUAGGGUUUUAGAGGGUGAAGGCUGACUUAGAAUGAAGAAGGAGGCUUAACAUUAUGCUUAUAUAGGGUACAACCCUUGAAUUAGUUUUUUCAACCUGACGCUUGUACGCCCAACGUACCUUCUCGUACCUCUCGCGCACGAGGCCACACAACCCGAUCCAAUCCUUGCAUAUACGCUACUUAUUCCUCCAGCUACACCCCGCAUAGUUCCUUCUCUUCGGUACGCCCUACGUACCACUUCGGUAUGCCUUGCGUACUAGGGCUUUUCCUAAAAUGCUAAUUCUUCCGAAGGCUAUAACUUACUGGAUACAACUCCGAUUCCAACCAUUCACAUAUCCAUAGAAAGGUAUCGAGUGUUGGGUUUUGAGCAUUCUAACACUUCCUAAGUGUACAUGCAACCCUAAUAAACCUUGGAUCUAUAUAUGUCUAAAAUACAUGCAAAAUUUGUUUUCAAAAGUUUAUGACUUAUCUAGCAUGGCAUGGGGAACUUUUAAACAUAAAAGAACUAGAUGAAUUACAUACCUUUUGAUGAGUGUUGAUUCCUUGGAGUUUGAGAGCCAAGCACCAAUAAUGUGAAUGUCUCAAAUGGAAAUUACAAAUCACCACAAGCUUGGAAAACCUUAUGAAAGUGUAUACUUUGCACUAGAAAUCGGCCACCACUUCUCACACCCACUAGGGUGUCAAUUCAUGCAACAUAAGCUUGUUUAUAUAGUGUAGAUGAUUAGGGUAAACCCUAAUAACCCAUUUCUUUUCCUAUUCCAAGGAUCCAUGGGUUAAAAGCUCCAUGGAUCAUCCAUGGACUUCCAUAUAAGCUAAGCCCAUUCCCAAAUGAGUGUUGGCCGACACCAUAUAAAUAUAAUAGUCCAUGAUUGAAUUAGUCUUCCUUUUAAUCACUAAAUCAAUUCAUAAUUAAUUUAAGAUUAAAACAUAAUUAAAUAACAUGACUUUAUAUUAAUAUAUUAUAACUUAUAAUAUAUUAAUAAAACAUAAGUAUACAAUUCUUAUAAUAUUAUCCAUAAAUCGUUUGGGUGAAGUGCAACCCAAAUGGACCAUGUUGGGUCGGGUCAAGUAUAUACCAAAUAAGUUAUGGACUUAGACACCUUAUCCAACAGACUCCCACUUGGAUAAGUCUAAUAACUAUAUUUGCCUAUAUUACUUCAGGAACCAACCAGCAAUCGUAGCUCUCGAAAACUCUGUUGAACUAUGAAGCGCCAUUUUAAGACAAGUGAUCAUAUAAUCCUCUGUUCUCAUGAUAUCAGCCGGACAAACACAUGGAACUAUGUCUUGCUUAUUGUCUGGCAGUUGUUUCUCGAUUUCCGAUUUGUUUGACAAAGAACUUUACUGAACACAUCAGUUUAGUUCUGACCGGGCCCGAUACAUGGGUCAACACAAAAUCAUCGAGGGGCCCAGAUAUCGCUUCUAUUUCUAGAAGGAACAGAUAAACUUCGACUCAUAUGCUUGUUCUACUACUUGUUGAAUUGCACACAAAGGCACGUUUUAUAACAUCAUGUUACUGAUGUGUUUUCGUGCAAUCAAUGCACAACCAACUCAUAGGUAACAACUCAUAUCUCUAGGUUUGAAGACUUAUAUGAUAUUAUCGUCUAACGAUCACUCGAGAUAAAUUCGAUGAAGUGAUACAAGUGAGCGUGGGUUUAUUCCAAUACUCAUAACUUAUGAGCACUCAUGAACGUUGUAGUAACCAUUGCUAUGUCUAAACACCUUUAGCCAUCUACAAACCCAAUUCAUGACAAUCUUGAUUCAUACCUACUUCCGACGUAUGACCGAUUGUGGAGGUUUGAACAAAUUAAUUAUUAUGGAAGUCAAAACAUGCAAAACUGAAACAAUAGUAAAUAAUUGACAAUGAUAGCAACACUUUACUCAUAAAUAAAUCACAAAUUUUAUUCAUCAUCAAACGUCGAUUACAUUUUACAAGUUUCAGAAAAGGCUAUCUAAUUUGUAAAACUAGUAUUGUCCCUCAGCCUGAUGCGUCUCGCAUGCUGCAAAUGCUUAACCCUCAUCAGUCCCUUCGUAAGGGGAUCUGCAGGGUUCUCAUCUGACGAUAACCUCUUUGCCAUGAGGAGUCCUUCUUCUAUCGUGUGUCUUAUGAAGUGAUAUUUUCUGUCAAUGUGUUGGGAUCUGCCAUGAUCUCUCGGUUACUUGGCUAAGGCAACUGCACUAUUGUUGUCACAGAAAAUCUCCAUAGGCUCCUUAAUAGCUGGUACAACUCCAAGGUCUCCGAUGAAGCUCUUCAGCCAUAUCGCCCCCUUCGCUGCUUCACUCGCUGAUAUAUACUCUAAUUCACAAGUCGAAUCAGCCACCGUCUCCUGAUUGGAACUCUUCCAAGAGAUUUCCCCUCCAUUUAGGGUAAAGACCCAGCCCGACUGAGAGCGGAAGUUAUCCCUAUCAGUCUGAAAACUAGCAUCACUAUACCCUAAUACUCUCAAGUCAUCACUCCCACCAAGGGUAAGGAUCCAAUCCUUAGUCCUCCGCAGGUACUUGAAAAUGUUCUUUACCGCGGUCCAAUGAGCCUUGCCAGGGUUCCCCUGAUAUCUGCUGACCAUGCUUAAAUCAAAGGCCACAUCAAGGCGGGUACAAGUUAUAGCAUACAUGAUCGAGCCUACAAUAGAAGCAUACGGUAAUCGACUCAUCUCUGCUAUCUCAGCCUCUAUACUCGGACUCUGAGUCUUACUCAGUUUGGCAUUGCUUUGGAUCGGUAAAUCUCCUUUCUUGGAAUUCUGCAUGUUUAUCCUUUUCAACACCUUAUCCAAGCUGGUACUCUGACUAAGUCCAAUUAGUCUUUUACUCCUUUCUCUUAAUAUCCUUAUCCCCAGAUAUAGGCAGCUUCCCCGAAGUCCUUCAUAGCAAAGCACUUCCCAAGCCAGGACUAAACCUCCUGUAAGGUUAGGAUGUCAUUUCCUAUAAGUAGUAUGUCAUCUACAUACAGUACCAAGAAGCUAACUAUACUCCCACUAGCUCUGACAUACACGCAAGACUCAUAUUCACUUCUCGAGAAACCAAACUCUUUGGCCUUCUCAUCGAAACAAAGAUUCCAGCUACGAGAUGCUUGUUUUAAUCCAUAAAUGAAUUUCUCAAGCUUUCACACUCUAUUAGGCUAUUCUACACUGACAAAACCAUUUGGUUGAUUCAUGUAUACAUCCUCAGCCAAAUUUCCAUAAAGAAAAGCGGUUUUGACAUCCAUUUUCCAUAUUUCAUAAUCAUGAAAUGCGGCAAUGGCUAGCAUAACCCUAAUAGACUUAAUCUUUGCUACCGGUGAGAAGGUUUCAUCAUAAUCAAUACCCUAAGUCGGAGUAAAACCCUUCGCAACCAGUCGAGCCUUAUAAGUGUGCACUUUUCCUUCCAUGUCAGUCUUCUUCUUGAAGAUCCAUUUGCACCCGACUAUUUUACGGCCUGGUACAUUGUCAACCAAGUUCCAAACUUGAUUGUCAUACAUGGACUGUAUCUCGCUGUCCAUAGCCUCCUUCCAUUUAGCAGACUUCGGGCCUGCCAUGGCUUCCUUAACACUGCUAGGUUCAUCCAAAUUUACCAGUGUACUAUUGCUGAUAAAUGUAUCACCUUCCGUAAUAAUAUGAAAACCAUAAUAAAACUCAGGUGUGUUCCUAACCCGUGUGGAACGCCUCGGAGGUAUAGACUCAUCAGCUGGCUCAACAGGAGUUUCCUCCUCAGGUUGAUUGCUUUGUUUGAGGUUCCUUCACCAAUUGAUUCUUGAAUUUCUUCAAGGUCAAUUUGCCUCCUACUGUCUCCUUGGCUAAUAAACUCUCUCUCACGAAAGCCCCCUUUUCUUGCUACAAAGACCACAUUCUCACUGGUUCUGUAGAAAAGGUAACCAAAGGAUUUCUAUGGGUAGCCGAUGAAAAUACACCUUUCACUUCGGGGUUCGAGCUUAUCAUUAGUAUCAUGCCUCACAAAAGCUUCGGAACCCCAAAUAUUGAUAUGGUCCAAAUUGGGAACCUUCCCAGUCCACAUCUCAUGAGGUGUUUUGGCAACCUUUUUUGUAGGGACUAGAUUAAGGAUAUUGGCGGUAGUAUCUAAGGCCNCCCCCAAAAAGAGAUUGGUAGCGAAGCUUGACUCAUCAUGGAGCGAACCAUGUCCAACAAGGUCCGAUUAUGCCUCUCAGCCACACCAUUCAACUGUGGUGUCCUGGGAGGUGUCAAUUGUGAGACAAUCCCACACUGCUUAAGAUAGUCGAGGAACUCUGUACUAAGAUACUCACCACCUCGAUCGGAUCGAAACAUCUUAAUGUUCCUGCCCAAUUGAUUUUCUACUUCAUGUUUAAAUUCUUUAAACCUUUCAAGGGUUUCUGACUUAUGUUUGAUUAAGUAGACAUAACCAUAUCUACUAAAAUCAUCAAUUAAAGUCACAUAAUACUGAUUAGCAUCUCUUGUGGUGGUUUUGAAUGGUCCACAUACAUCAGUAUGUAUUAGGUCCAACAAACCCUCACCCCGUUCACAAGUACCAGUGAAGGGUGAUUUUGUCAUCUUUCCAAGUAGACAAGAUUCACAACUAUCAUCCGACUUAAGGUCAAAUGAUGCCAAGACUCCAUCCUUUUGGAGUUGGCCUAUGCGUUUCUUGUUUACAUGUCCAAGACGACAAUGCCACAAUGAUGCUUUAUCUAGGCUAGUAGAAGAAUCAAUAUACAAUACACUAUUUCCUAAGUUGUCUACAACCAACACAGUUUCUUACAUACCAUCAGAAGGUAAUGCUUUAAAAUAAAACACAUUAUUAAAGAAAGCAUUAAUACCACCACAUUCAUUAUCAAAUGAAAAGGUAAAGCCUUGUUUGUACAAACCAUGAAAAGAAAUAAUAUUUCUCGCCAUUUUAGACGAGUACACACAUUUAUUCAAAUCUAACUUUAACCCACUACUUAGCAACAAGGUAUAAACUCCAAUCUUGGAAACAGGUGAAGCCUUCCUAUUUCCCAUAAUCAGGUUUAUCUUCCCGUGCUCCACAUCCUCACUUUUUCUUAGGCCCUUCAAAUUUGAACAUAUGUGAAUAGCACAUCCUGUAUCAAGCACCCAAGAGUUAGAAUAUGGUGCGUUAUUAGACAAUAUUGUGUAAAUACCUACGUGGGUGGGUUUCACUUUCCCAUCCUUUAGAUCCUGCAAGUACUUAGGGCAGUUUCACUUCCAGUGCCCCUUGUCCUGGAUAUAGCAGCAAUCAGCAUCCUUGGGAAUGGUAGAAGGAGUGACAGAACCGCUCUUGGUCCUUGAUGAGGAGCCUUCAAGAGACUUUCCCUUGGUACCCUUCGAAGGGGACUUCCUCUUUUUCUCUUUGCCUUGCCCGAUAGCCAAAACAGGGGUAGUGUUGGAUUAAUGUCUAAGUCCAUAACUAUAAUUGGUAAGACUUGACCCGACCCGGCAUGGUCCAUUUGGGUUGCAUACCAUCAUGCACUUGGAUAGACUAUAAUGAGAGAAAUAAGACACUUAUGGUUAUUAAUAUAUUAUAAGUUCUAGUAUAUUAAUAAUAAGAAUAAUGAGAUUAUUUAAUUAGUAUUGAUCAAGAAUUAAUCUAGGAUUAAUUAAGUGAUCAAAAGAAGACUAAUUAAAUAUAUGGGUUGAUUGUGUAAAUCAUCCAUACUUGUAUAGUGGGCUAAGCUCCAUGGAUAAUCAAGUUGGGCUAAAACCCAUAGGAUGGUCCAUGGAUGCUCCAUGGUGUAUUUGUACCCAUGGAUCCAAGGAAAUCGAAAGUCAUGACAAUUAAGGGUUUACCCUAGUUGUAACACUAUAUAAAGAUCACAUUCUUGGAAAAAAAAUGGGUGACUAGUAUCACACUAGAGAAAGUAAGAAAGGGCUAGCCAAUUUCAUGAGUGUAGAAUUCUCUCAAGUCAUUCCAUUUGUAUUUGGUGUUGUGUGAACCAUUUUAGGUGUCACACUUGGAGCACUAGGCACUCAAGCUUCAUGAAGACUUUCUACAUCAAAGAGGUAUGUAUUCUAUCUUGUUACAUUCAUUGUUUUGUAUGCUAGAUUAGGAUAAUACCUUGGAAGUUCUUAUUUGCAUGUAUAAUAGAGAAAACAUAGAUCCAAGGUAUUUAGGGUUGCAUGUACACUUAGGAGUGUUAGAAUGCUCAAAACCCAACAGUGGUAUCAGAGCCUAGGCUUGUUUUCUUGUUAUACNNNNNNNNNNNNNNNNNNNNNNNNNNNNNNNNNNNNNNNNNNNNNNNNNNNNNNNNNNNNNNNNNNNNNNNNNNNNNNNNNNNNNNNNNNNNNNNNNNNNNNNNNNNNNNNNNNNNNNNNNNNNNNNNNNNNNNNNNNNNNNNNNNNNNNNNNNNNNNNNNNNNNNNNNNNNNNNNNNNNNNNNNNNNNNNNNNNNNNNNNNNNNNNNNNNNNNNNNNNNNNNNNNNNNNNNNNNNNNNNNNNNNNNNNNNNNNNNNNNNNNNNNNNNNNNNNNNNNNNNNNNNNNNNNNNNNNNNNNNNNNNNNNNNNNNNNNNNNNNNNNNNNNNNNNNNNNNNNNNNNNNNNNNNNNNNNNNNNNNNNNNNNNNNNNNNNNNNNNNNNNNNNNNNNNNNNNNNNNNNNNNNNNNNNNNNNNNNNNNNNNNNNNNNNNNNNNNNNNNNNNNNNNNNNNNNNNNNNNNNNNNNNNNNNNNNNNNNNNNNNNNNNNNNNNNNNNNNNNNNNNNNNNNNNNNNNNNNNNNNNNNNNNNNNNNNNNNNNNNNNNNNNNNNNNNNNNNNNNNNNNNNNNNNNNNNNNNNNNNNNNNNNNNNNNNNNNNNNNNNNNNNNNNNNNNNNNNNNNNNNNNNNNNNNNNNNNNNNNNNNNNNNNNNNNNNNNNNNNNNNNNNNNNNNNNNNNNNNNNNNNNNNNNNNNNNNNNNNNNNNNNNNNNNNNNNNNNNNNNNNNNNNNNNNNNNNNNNNNNNNNNNNNNNNNNNNNNNNNNNNNNNNNNNNNNNNNNNNNNNNNNNNNNNNNNNNNNNNNNNNNNNNNNNNNNNNNNNNNNNNNNNNNNNNNNNNNNNNNNNNNNNNNNNNNNNNNNNNNNNNNNNNNNNNNNNNNNNNNNNNNNNNNNNNNNNNNNNNNNNNNNNNNNNNNNNNNNNNNNNNNNNNNNNNNNNNNNNNNNNNNNNNNNNNNNNNNNNNNNNNNNNNNNNNNNNNNNNNNNNNNNNNNNNNNNNNNNNNNNNNNNNNNNNNNNNNNNNNNNNNNNNNNNNNNNNNNNNNNNNNNNNNNNNNNNNNNNNNNNNNNNNNNNNNNNNNNNNNNNNNNNNNNNNNNNNNNNNNNNNNNNNNNNNNNNNNNNNNNNNNNNNNNNNNNNNNNNNNNNNNNNNNNNNNNNNNNNNNNNNNNNNNNNNNNNNNNNNNNNNNNNNNNNNNNNNNNNNNNNNNNNNNNNNNNNNNNNNNNNNNNNNNNNNNNNNNNNNNNNNNNNNNNNNNNNNNNNNNNNNNNNNNNNNNNNNNNNNNNNNNNNNNNNNNNNNNNNNNNNNNNNNNNNNNNNNNNNNNNNNNNNNNNNNNNNNNNNNNNNNNNNNNNNNNNNNNNNNNNNNNNNNNNNNNNNNNNNNNNNNNNNNNNNNNNNNNNNNNNNNNNNNNNNNNNNNNNNNNNNNNNNNNNNNNNNNNNNNNNNNNNNNNNNNNNNNNNNNNNNNNNNNNNNNNNNNNNNNNNNNNNNNNNNNNNNNNNNNNNNNNNNNNNNNNNNNNNNNNNNNNNNNNNNNNNNNNNNNNNNNNNNNNNNNNNNNNNNNNNNNNNNNNNNNNNNNNNNNNNNCAUGGUCCAUUUGGGUUGCAUGGCAUCAUGCACUUGGAUAGACUAUAAUGAGAGAAAUAAGACACUUAUGGUUAUUAAUAUAUUAUAAGUUCUAGUAUAUUAAUAAUAAGAAUAAUAAGAUUAUUUAAUUAGUAUUGAUCAAGAAUUAAUCUAGGAUUAAUUAAGUGAUCAAAAGAAGACUAAUUAAAUAUAUGGGUUGAUUGUGUAAAUCAUCCAUACUUGUAUAGUGGGCUAAGCUCCAUGGAUAAUCAAGUUGGGCUAAAACCCAUAGGAUGGUCCAUGGAUGCUCCCUGGGGUAUUUGUACCCAUGGGUNCCCUAGUUGUAACACUAUAUAAAGAUCACAUUCUUGGAAAAAAAAUGGGUGACUAGUAUCACACUAGAGAAAGUAAGAAAGGGCUAGCCAAUUUCAUGAGUGUAGAAUUCUCUCAAGUCAUUCCAUUUGUAUUUGGUGUUGUGUGAACCAUUUUAGGUGUCACACUUGGAGCACUAGGCACUCAAGCUUCAUGAAGACUUUCUACAUCAAAGAGGUAUGUAUUCUAUCUUGUUACAUUCAUUGAUUUGUAUGCUAGAUUAGGAUAAUACCUUGGAAGUUCUUAUUUGCAUGUAUAAUAGAGAAAACAUAGAUCCAAGGUAUUUAGGGUUGCAUGUACACUUAGGAGUGUUAGAAUGCUCAAAACCCAAUAGGUAGAUGUUGGAGUAGGAGUAGUAGAGGUAACAACCGACUUGCCCUUAAGACCGGUUUCAGCGGUCUUUAAGAGUCCUUGAAGUUUGCUAAGAGUAACUUCCUCCUUGUUCAUAUGAUAUGUCAUACGAAAUUGGUCAUAACAAGAAGGUAAUGAGUGCAAAAUAAUGUCAAUUGCCAACUCCUCAGGGAAGUUCACGUUUAGCUUGAGUAAACGGUCCACAUACCUUUGCAUAUUUUGCAUGUGGCCCGUGAUGGAUUCACCAUCCUUUAUGCGGUUUGUUAUCAUGGGGGAGAUUAUUUCAUACUGCUCCUGAAGAGCACUCUGAUGGUACCUUUCCAUCAGGUCUUGGUGCAUCUAAAAAGGGUAAAAGUCCUCAUAGGACUUUUGGAGCUCGACUGUCAUCAUGGCCAUCAUGAUGCAUGCUACCUUAGUAGCAUCUCUAUCAUGCAUCCUGAAUUCAGCGACCUCCUCAGGAGUAGCAGUGGACUCAUCAAGCUCCUUUAAUUCCUUAUCGAGGAUGUAUUCCUUUUCCUCAUAACGAGUAACCAUCCUGAUGUUCCUAAUCCAUUCCAUGAAGUUGGAACCAUCAAAGAUGACUCUCCCACAAAGAUUCAUGAGAGAGAAAGAGCCAAUGGGGUUAGAGCCCGAAGCAUUGUUGUUGGAAGACAUCUGAAAGAAGAAAGCAAGUUUAGAUUAGAUAUAUAUAGAGUCUUAAUAAGACACCCAAAUGUAAUAUUAAGGCUAGGAUCCAAUCACAAUAUAUUAUACUUAGAAGAGGGAUGUCGUAAUCUAAGUAAUAACAUAUUUGAAAGGUAGGUGAAUGACGAUUCACCAAUUUCCACCAUGAUAAACAAAAUGAAUUAUUAGGUUUUAAUUGGUUUUGAAAUUCCUAGAUUCUUUUGAGAUUCAUUGAACUUUUCAAUGGCAUGUUUCAAUCUCGAUUGUGCCCUUCAAUUUUUGUGACCGGGAUAUCGAGGAUCACAAAACAAGGUGUGAAUAACCAUGCUAAUUCACUUGGUACCUUAAUAUUAUCACCUAAUCAGUGUGCCGGUUAACCACACACGCUUCAUUAAUCUAUGAAAAACAUUAAGUCACCCUUCAUGAUCUUUACUAGUCCAAGUAGUGUGUCGGUUAACCACACACGCUCCACCAACGACUCGGUAAAGUACAAAGUGUGAAUUCCAUUUACUAGCACCAUGUUCACAUUUUUCCUAAAGUAACUAAGAUUGGGAAUUAAAAUAUUUAGUUACUUUAUAAUAAUCAUUAUACUUUUAAAGAGAAUUUAAAUUCAUUGUCCUACUCGUUCGGCUAACGACCCUCCACCGAUCAAGGAAGCGAUGGGUGAGAGUGGACACCCAUUAAGCUGUCAUUUUAUAGGUAACAACCUUAUACCCCCCCUUAUAGACCGGCUUCGUGAAUGAGGCCUACUAACGGUAAAACGACUUAUUCUUAUACAUAUAUAUAAUAAUUAACCAUUAAUGUUAUAAAUAGCAUAAGUGUUGAAUUUUAACUAUUAAAACUCUAAGGGUUGGAAUUAAAGUUAAUUAAAGUGUGUGAAACUUAACAAAUUCCAAAACUUGGGGGCAAGUUUUGUAACUAUUCAAAACUUAUCAUUUCAUAACUUAUGAAUUAAAAGUUCAUAAAAUGAAGACUCUUCAUUUUUAUGUAACUUAUGUGUUUUAAAUGUGUGUUUAAAAGAAGUGACCUUUGGAUAUCCAUAACUUGAGGACAAAUUAUGGACUUCAUUAAAACACAUAAAUGAUCAAGAAUUAAUCCUAAAAAAUUAAGCAAAUAAUUCCUAUCAUCUUCUAAAUUCAUAAGAACAUGAACAUGAUCAUCAAAGUUUCAAGGAUUAUAUGAACACAUACAAAGCAUGAAAUUUUGAUAUAAGAUAUUGUAAAUGGAUUAGAACAACCAUUAUACCAACUAAAACAAGUUUUAAAACACCAAAAAAGUUUAGGGUAAUGUUUCUAGUCCAUUUCCAGCAACAAAAGUUGAAAAUCUGCAUUUUCAGGCUUCUACUCAUCGAGUGCACGAACCUACUCAACGAGUAGGAUGAAUUCAGUCAUGGACUCGGCGAGUCCCCCCAUGGACUCGACGAGUUCAUCAUGCAGACAGUAAGAAAAUUGACUUUUUUCACUAUUUUGCAUCAAGUAUCAAACAAACAAGCCUAGGCUCUGAUACCACUGUUAGGUUUUGAGCAUUCUAACACUUCCUAAGUGUAAAUGGAACCCUAAUAAACCUUGGAUCUAUGUUUGUCUAAAAUACAUGCAAAAUUUGUUUUCCAAGGUUUAUGACUUAUCUAGCAUGGCAUGGGGAACUUUUAAACAUAAAAGAACUAGAUGAAUUACAUACCUUUUGAUGAGUGUUGAUUCCUUGGAGUUUUAGAGCCAAGCACCAAUAAUAUGAAUGCCUCAAAAGGAAAUCACAAAUCACCACAAACUUGGAAAACCUUAUGAAAGUGUAUACUUUGCACUAGAAAUCGGCCACCACUUCUCACACCCACUAGGGUGUCAAUUCAUGCAACAUAGGCUUAUUUAUAUAGUGUAGAUGAUUAAGGUAAACCCUAAUAACCCAUGUCUUUUCCUCUUCUAAGGAUCCAUGGGUUAAAAGCUCCAUGGGUCAUCCAUGGACUUCCAUAUAAGCUAAGCCCAUUCCCAAAUGAGUGUUGUCCCACAUCAUAUAAAUAUAAUAGUCCAUGAUUUAAUUAGUCUUCCUUUUAAUCACUAAAUCAACUCAUAAUUAAUUUAAGAUUAAAACAUAAUUAAAUAACAUGACUAUAUAUUAAUAUAUUAUAACUUAUAAUAUAUUAAUAAAACAUAAGUAUAAAAUUCUCAUAAUAUUAUCCACAAAUCAUUUGGGUGAAGUGCAACCCAAAUGGACCAUGCCGGGUCGGGUCAAGUAUAUACCAAAUAAGUUAUGGACUUAGACACCUUAUCCAACAUCAAGAUGCUAAACGUUGUUAUCAAUUCCUGCCUACCAUAAAUAUUCCGAACUAAGAUCCACUUUCCACAAAGGUCCGAACUCUUUAGUGGCAUGUUUAAUCUCGAUUAUGCCCUUCAAAUUUGUGACUGGCAUACCGACGAUCACAAAUAAGGUGUGAAUAACCAUGAAAAUUAGCUUGGUACUCUCGAUGUCAUUUACCACUUAAUCAAUGUGUCGGUUAACCACACGCGCUCCAUUGAUCAGUGAUAAUUUACGAGUGACCCAUUGUCACCCUUUGUUAGUCCAAGUUAGUGUGCCAGGUAACCACACACGCUCCACUAACAACUAGCCAAAGUGCAAUGUGCAAUUUCAUGGAUUAACAUAAAAUUCACAUUUUCCUAAAGUAACUAAGAUUGAGAAUUUUAUAAAAACAUUUUGUUACUUUAUAUUUAUCAUUAUACUUAUUAAUGAGGAUUUAAUGUCUUAUCCUACCCGUUCAGAUAACGACCCUCCACUAGUCAAGAGUGAGGUGGGUAAGAGGGGAUACCUAAUGGCUGUCAUUUUAUAAGUCGCUUCCUUAAACACCCGUUAUACACCAGCUUCGUGAAUGAGGCAUACUAACAGUAAGACUGACUUUUCUUAUAUAUAUAUAUAUAUANACUCUAUCUCUCUCUCUCUCUCUCUCUAUAUAUAUAUAUAUAUAUAUAUAUAUAUAUAUUAAACUUUUAAUUUUAUAAUAGUAUAAGGGUGUAUUUUAAGCUUUUAAAAUACUAGGGUUCUAGAAUUUAAGAUUUCAAAAUUAAACUUUUAAUUAAAUUUUAAAUUCUUAAACCAAAGGGGUAUUAUUGAAACUUUUCAAAAAAAUACAAGAUCAAAAUUUUAAAUAACUAAAUUAAUCAAAUAAUUUUUUCAUUAUCUUAAAAUUUGACCAAAUCUCUUAAUUUGAUAAGGAUAUACAUAUAUCUUUCCAAAAAUUCAAUUUUAGGCAUUAAAAACGAAUUGUGGUAAUAACCCUAAUCAAACUGAGAUAUGGAAAUCAAAAAAACAGGGAUCUAACAGCCUGACUCGUCAAGUUAUUGCAAUGAACUCGUUGAGUAGGCUCAACUCGUCGAGUCCCAUGAGGAACUCAUCGAGUCUGAUGAAUAGAGCGACGGAUCUGUUCCAUCCUCCUUUGGACAAUUUACAGAAGCAUCAAAUACAACUGAAAAACAUCCUAGGCUCUAAUACCACUGAAGGGUUUUGAGCAUAACUAUGUGUUCAUGCAACCCUAAUUGCUUUAGAUCUAAGUUUUUCACUGGUUGAACAUGUAAUUGAAUAUCAAAGCAAUAUAGCCUAGAUCUAGCAUACAAUUUCGAAAAAUCAUAUAACAAAAGGGUUUUUGAUGAUUACCUUAACUUGUUAUGUAGAUCUUUGACUACUGAAAGCUUAGCGCCUCAAAUGUUGCACCUCUAAUGAAUUAUAAACACCACUAGCAAAAGGAUGAGAGGAGAUAGGAGGGAAGGCUCUUAGAUCUUCAGCUAGGGUUUCCUAUUACCAAGCAUUGGCCGAAAAUCCCACCCCUAGGGCUUCCUUAUAUAGCUGAGGGUUGCUAGGGUUUCUGGAGGAAACCCUAAUUUGUUGCUGAGGACUAAAGCAACCCAUAGACCCUUUCCAAUAGGCCUUGGACGAAAUCUAUAGGGCCACCCUAUACGAUUUCAUCCAUUCCUAAUUAAGGAGUGCAUCAACCCAGUUUCACAACAAUAAACGAUUUGCAAAAUAUCCUCUGUUCCUUUAAUCAGUUCUUUGAAUCCCAAAAUUAGUUCUAAAUUAAUUUCUGAUUAAAUACUAAUUAAAUAACAUGAUUUCUAAUUAAUAUAUUAUUUUGAUAAUACAUUAAUAAAUCAAUUUAUUAAUCCAAAUAAUAAAUUUAACCUUUCUCUCCAAAAAUCAUUCUGUCAAGUUGUUAAGGUGAAGGUAACCUAAAAGGACCAUUCUACUAUCAAAUCAAGUACAUACCAAAUAUAGUUAUAGUCUUAGACGCCUAAUCCAACAACAACUGCCUUGGAACCUGCCUCGCAGGACCAUAUCGAAAGGAAUGAUCCUCUCGCAACCUGUAACAAAAAAACAAAUCAUAUAUAAGGGGAUCGGUAAAGCCCUGACUUCACCCUAUCGAGAUUUAUGUACAAGGGGGGGGGGGGAGGAGGAUAUGCAGACUCAUAAUCCUUCUCCACAAAGAACUGAGUCAUCAUCUUUAACACUGUAAAUUUUCAACCAAAGUUUUCAUUUUUAAAAUCUCAUAAAUCCCAUCAAACACAAGUUAACAAAAAUCAAAAUGUCAAGUUAUCAAAACAUGGGAUCAUAAUUUAUUUAAACACCCUCCAAGAUCCCCAACAUAACUGUGUUGCGUGUGUACAAUCAAGCCGAUGCCUUCCCGUGAUCCCGAGAAGUACAUGAAACACAUAACACGGUAAGCACGAGGCUUAGUGAGUUCCCCAAAAUACCUCACUUAACUCAUUAGCCUCUCAUGGCCAUGAUCGAACAAGACCCUCCGGUCAAUGUGUCUCAGUGGGACCAUUUGGUCCAUUCCCACAACUCGGGUGGACCUUCUGGUCCUAACUCAACAGGCUUAGAAUAAUACAUAGCAUAAAUUACAAGACAUAAAGCAGGAUAUCACAAAACUCAAUAUAACACAUAUGACCCUUAGGUCACACAAUUAUUACCACUCUAGGUAAGUAUAUUGAGAAGACUCACAUUGUAAGCAUGCUAGCAAAUAAACCUGAACACGAAUCCCGAACUAGCCUCCGCCUAACACAUAGGGUAAAUAUCUCUAGUUAAUACUCUAUUCACAAAUUUAAACAAACCCAGGUUAUUCUCUAUAUCUCUCUAAUUCUCGAAGUGUGUAAAAGACCAUUUUACCUUCAUGGUCUCCAUUCCUAAUAUUUGACCAAACCCUAAAGUUAAUAGCAGUCAAGCUCGAGUCAACAGUCAAAAAUAUCCUCACUCGUCGAGUGCACUCAUGCAACUCGUCGAGUCCCCUCGUUUCCUCAGAAGUCUCAUGAACUUCCAGCUCAACUCGUUGAGUUCAUCUCCCAACUCGUCGAGUUAUCGCAUAAACAAGCUUAUCUGGACAAACCCUAACCGACUCGUCGAGUCAGUUCAUCGACUCGUCGAGUCCUUUCAGAGUCUUUCUUAUUCAGACGUUUUUAAGGCAGAAAGCAACCCCAAACUCUAGAUCUAAUCUCUCAAUACUCAAUUAUCACGUAAAGCCACAAGCUUUAUGUCCAUGCAUGGCACUUAGGACUUAGAAUGCCAAAAAACAUGAUCCAAUAAGGGUUUUCACUAAUGAGCUCUAUUAUGGCUGAAUAAAGUUAGGACUUUUGGACUCUUGGGACCUCACAAGGUCCAAAUCUAAAGUCCAAACCUCUAGAUGAAUCAAAAACACUCCAUGCCCCAAAAUAAUGCAUGGAAAAAGCCCUAAACUCCUUAAACAUGAGAUCUAUCCAACAUAAUGAGAAAGGUGUCGACUUAGUGCCUCUCAUAGAAGCUCUGGAUGAAAUAGCAACAUAUAUGAAAUCCCCUUCUCGUUCUUUUCUUGAAAUCCUUCCCUUCUCUUCAAAAGAUGCACUAAAACACCCAAGGUUUAGCCCAAUAACUCUCUUAGCUCACUACUAACGAUUAGGGUUUCUCUUAAGGGUGAAGGGUGACUGGUGAGGCAGAAAUGAGGGUAUAAGGCUCCAUAAAUAGGCCCCAAUGUAACACCCAUUUAUUUAUUAAAUUAAUUAAUUAAUGUAUAGUAGCCCUAAAACCAAUAAUUAUAUGUAGGGUGUUUGUUUCGAGGAGUUAAUUGGCACAAUUUUAGAAGUCGGGGAUUAAAAGUAUAAGUUUUGGAUGGGUUCCAUAAAGAAUUAUGAGGGCAGGGAUUACUUGGUAAUUAUUGGGACUUCAUUUGAAAAGAAUUUGUAGAGGAGAGGCUAUUUUAGUAAAAAUCGGACCUGGAUUGUAAAGGAUUUAAUGUUGAGGGUUUAUAUGGUAAAUAUUGGAUUACAUUUGAAUAAAAAGGGGCAUGGAGGGACUGUUGUUGCCAUUAUGGAAAACUCUGGAGUGGAGUCGGGUAUAAAGGUUUAACCAAACCCUAACCCUACUGAAGAUGUGAAACCGUCACCCUUUCCCCUCUUAUGCCUCCCACCGCCGGUUUUCUCACUUGUCUCUCCGACCAACUAAGCUCAGCAAGGCCAUCGCUACCCCUCCUCCCAUCGGAGUCCGCUGCCACCAUUCUUCCAUCGAUGAAGUUUUUUUUUAUUGCCGUUGUGUGGACGAGCCUACUGUCGCCGCUCCUUCUCCAUUGAUGCCACGACGUCGCUGCUGGGGUUUCCUGUCGGAGGUUGCGCACCUUCCUCAUCUUCGGGAUUCUACUUGUGUUGGUUUUCGGGAGCUGUUGUUAAAGGUCGUAUGAUGCUGGUGGGGUUUUUGGUCGAGUGUAACUGUGAAGAACCACCAUGGCAGCCGGCCAUGGAGGCUGCUACUGCGACUCGUGAGUAUGCUACCGUCACCGGACACCACUUGAUCGAUGGUUGGAUCAUAUGUGGAUGUCAGAACCGUGUAGGAGUAUGUGUUUGGUGUUGUGUUCCUGAAGCGUGUGUGUUUGUUUGUUGAUCGGAAGCGCAAAAGGAGAAACUGCCAUGGCCGCCAUGGUGGCUUCCGCCACCCACCAUCAUCGGCAACCAAGGUGGUUAUUUGUAUGUAUGUUUAGCUUAGUUAGUGGGUGUGUUACUUUGGUAUUUUCAUUGUAAUUGUAACAAAAAGAUGGUAUAAUGAAAAGAACUUGAAAACCACUACCUUAGGGUGGUGGCUGGCGCCUCCUGCCGCCACCGACCGCCGUGUCGGGUGGUGGUGUGCUUUGCCCCGUGGUGUUGAUUCGUUUAGGGUACUUGAAACCCUAAUGGGCCUUGUAAGCCCUAAUGGGCCCAAUGAAGCUUAAUAGACCUAAUUGACCUAAAUAAAACCCUAAUUGGCUUAAUGAUAUUCUUAUGGGCUUAAUAGGCCCAAUAAAGCCCUAAUUGACCUAAAAGCCUAACAAACUGAUAAAUGGGCUAAUAUUUGGAUUAGAAAGCCCAAAUGCCAAUAAAACCCUAAUUUGGGGAAUUAUCCGGGACACGCGGGAAUUAUUUAAUAACUUGAGAUAUUAAAUAAUAAUCAUUGGCAAAGAUUAAUCUAAGCGAUAUUGGACUUAAUGGAUUAAGUCCUUAGAGGAUUAAGUCCUUAAUGGGUUAAGUAGGAAACUUAACCCUAACCAUCAUUUUAUGUGAAACCCUAAUUUCACUUAGGUUUAUUGUUGGGUCUCUCUUUUGGGCCUUGAUGGUUGGGUUAUUAAUGGACCAUCCAAACUCAAGCAAUUAGACUAGAAUAAUUUAAUGGGCCUAGGGUAAGGCCCAUGUAAGGGGUUUGGGCUCAAUUUGGAAAAUUGGGCCAUAGUUUGGGCCUUAAUGAUUAUAUGAGGUUGGGCCUUAGAAUAAGACCAUGUGUAGGAUCGAAGGGUAGGUCAGUACCCCAGAUAUGUCUGGCUGUAUGAUUAUAUUAUGUUAUUAUAUGAUAGUGGUAGGGGUGAAAUAGUCCCCGGUUACCGGUUGAAAGAUACCGAUGACAGUUACCAGUUGAAAGAUACCAAAGGGGUAAACAGAACCCAUGCAAUGCUUACCUGUCUGGUUAUGAUAUGUCAGUAUGUGAUCAACAUGUUUAUGAUAUGUUAGUAUGUGAUCAACAUGUUUAUGAUAUGUUAGUAUGUGAUCAACAUGUUUAUGAUAUGUUAGUAUGUGUCACACCCCUAAGCCAGAACAGCGGAAACGUUCGGGUCAAAGGACGUCAUGUCAAAUAUAAUAACAGAUGAAUAGUAAAGAAAGUACACACCACCAUAAAAUAAAUGUAUUUGAAAAGGUUACAUGAUUGUAUGUGUUACAUGUUUGCAAAAGAAAUCAAAUACAAUAUGGUGAUCCAAAAUAUGUUACUAACGCCAGCGCGUUAGUCUUCAAAAGUAGUUGCUAGCUAGUUAAACGGUUUCCUGAGAAUACAAGUUAUUUCAAAGAAAAACUGUCAACAAUAAAGUUGGUGAGUUCAUAAGUAGUGUUUUGAGAAAAUGAAUGCCAUUCGAAAGUUCGUGUAUGUUUUCCAUAAAAUCCCUUAUUUUCUAUUAAAUGUAUGAGAUGAGUAUGAAAGAUCGUUGUAUAAACUGUAUAGAUUUGAAACAGGAAAAUCCAUUAUUUUCUUAAAAGUGAAAUAUAUCUCAAAUGACCAAGACAGUAAGUUGUAAGCAACUAUCACAUGCUUAAAAGGAUGAUGCAUAGUCUUAUUAUGAAACCAAACUAUAAGAAGAUCAUAUUUCUAAAUGAAAAGUGACUGUAAUAGUCCCUUUCCCUGUGAAAACAUAAUACCAAAAUAAUUGUCUAUCUAGUGAGUUUUUAUAACCGUACUAUCAUAGUUUUCUUGUAGCGACGUUCUUUAUGUUGGAUUAAUGUCUAAUUCCAUAUCUAUAAUUGGUAACACUUGACCCGACCCGGCAUGGUUCAUUUGGGUUGCAUGGCAUCAUGCACUUGGAUAGAUUAUAAUGAGAGAAAUAAGACACUUAUGGUUAUUAAUAUAUUAUAAGUUCUAGUAUAUUAAUAAUAAGAAUAAUGAGAUUAUUUAAUUAGUAUUGAUCAAGAAUUAAUCUAGGAUUAAUUAAGUGAUCAAAAGAAGACUAAUUAAAUAUAUGGGUUGAUUGUGUAAAUCAUCCAUACUUGUAUAGUGGGCUAAGCUCCAUGGAUAAUCAAGUUGGGCUAAAACUCAUAGGAUGGUCCAUGGAUGCUCCAUGGCGUAUUUGUACCCAUGGAUCCAAGGAAAUGGAAAGUCAUGACAAUUAAGGGUUUACCCUAAUUGUAACACUAUAUAAAGAUGACAUUCUUGGAAAAAAUGGGCGACUAGUAUCACACUAGAGAAAGUAAGAAAGGGCUAGCCAAUUUCAUGAGUGUAGAAUUCUCUCAAGUCAUUCCAUUUGUAUUUGGUGUUGUGUGAACCAUUUGAGGUGUCACACUUGGGGCACUAGGCACUCAAGCUUCAUGAAGACUUUCUACAUAGGAUGGUCCAUGGAUGCUCCAUGGCGUAUUUGUACCCAUGGAUCCAAGGAAAUGGAAAGUCAUGACAAUUAAGGGUUUACCCAAAUUGUAACAAUAUAUAAAGAUGACAUUCUUGGAAAAAAUGGGCGACCAGUAUCACACUAGAGAAAGUAAGAAAGGGCUAGCCAAUUUCAUGAGUGUAGAAUUCUCUCAAGUCAUUCCAUUUGUAUUUGGUGUUGUGUGAACCAUUUGAGGUGUCACACUUGGGGCACUAGGUACUCAAGCUUCAUGAAGACUUUCUACAUCAAAGAGGUAUGUAUUCUAUCUUGUUACAUUCAUUGAUUUGUAUGCUAGAUUAGGAUAAUACCUUGGAAGUUCUUAUUUGCAUGUAUAAUAGAGAAAACAUAGAUCCAAGGUAUUUAGGGUUGCAUGUACACUUAGGAGUGUUAGAAUGCUCAGAAGCCAACAGUAGUAUCAGAGCCUAGGCUUGUUUUCUUGUUAUACUUGGAAAACUGCUUAAAAAUCGAAACUGUUGAUGUCUGAUCAUCAGACUCGGCAAGUGCAUCAGGAGACUCGGCGAGUCCAUGCCUAAAAAGUGAUCAAAUCGAUCCAACUCGCCAAGUUGGUUCAUGCACUCGACGAGUUGGACCCCCAGACAGCAUAUUUUCGAGUUUUUUGGCUAGAAAUGGACUAGGAACAUUACCCUAAGUUGUUUUUGAACUUAUAAACUUGUUUUUGAUGUGGUAAUGUUCAUGCUAAUCCAUUUUCAAAGAUAAUUGUCAAUAGAUUCAUGUUUUGUAUUAGUUUAAGGUUUAGACUAAUUACAUGAAAAAGUUUGAUUUGAAUUAUCUUGUUCUUAUGAGUUGCAAAGAUUAAUAGAAAAGUUGAGUGAAAUAGUUGUUUUCAAUCCAAAUUAAUCUAAGAGUUGAUUCUNUCAUAAAACUCAUAAAAAUUGGCAAAGGUUACAAAAAUGAAGAGUCUAGUUCUAAUUAAAUGGUUUUAUGACUCCAUAACUUGUCCUCAAGUUAUGGAGGACCAAGUUAUGGAGGUUCAAGAGUCACUUCAUUAAGUAAUAAAAUAUGUAACCAUAAUUAAUUCCAUAAGUUAUAAAAUAAAGAAAAGUUAAUUCUUUCAUUAGUUUAAAGUCUUCCAUAACUUGUCCUCAAGUUAUGGAACUUGAAGAGUUUUUGGAUUAAAACUACUUUAAACACAUAAGUUAUGGAAUUAAUUAGUUUUGAAUAGUUUCAAAACUUGCCCUCAAGUUUUGGAAUUUGUAAAGUUUUCACUUAUGAAUACUUUAAUUCCAAGUUAGCCCUUAGAAUUUUAAAAGUUAAAAUUCAACCCUUAUACUUUAUAAUAUUAUAAGUUAAUAAUAUAUAUAUGUAUAAGAGUAAAGUCAGUCUUACCGCUAGUACGCCUCAUUCACGAAGCCGGUCUAUAAGGUGGGUAUAAGGUUGUUGCCUAUAAAAUGGCAACUUAAUGGGUGUCCACUCUCACCCACCGCUUGCUUGACUGGUGGAGGGUCGUUAGCCGAACGGGUUUGACAGGACUAGAAUUCUCCCUUCAUUAAAAGUAUUAAUGAUAAUACUAAGUAACUAAACUCUUAAUAAUACCCAAUCUUAGUUACUUAGGAAAAAUGUGAAUAAGGUGCUAAUCCAUGAAAUUACACUUUACACUUUGUCUAAGUCGUUAGUGGAGCGUGUGUGGUUAACCGGCACACUAACUUGGACUUAACAAGGUAGGUAAAGGGUGACUUAAUAUUUAUCAUAGUAUCGAUGGAGCGUGUGUGGUUAACCGGCACAUCGAUUGAGGGGUAAUUUAUUAAGGGUACCAAGUGAUUUGCAUGGUUACUUCACACCUUGUUUUGUGAUCCUCGGCAUCCCAGUCACAAAACCUGAAGGGCACACUCGAGAUUGAAACAUGCCUUUGAAAAGUUCAAUGAAUCUCAAAGAUCUAGGAGUUUCAAAACCAAUUAAAACCUAAUAAUACAUUUCGUUUAUCUUGGUGGAAAUUGGUGAAUCGUCAUUCACCUACCUUCAAAUAUUUUAUAGCUUGGAUUACGGCAUACCUCUUCUAAGUUAUAAAAUAGUUUGUUGGGUCCUAGCCUUAAUAUUUCAUAUUGGGUGUCAUAUUAAGGACUUUAAAUCAACUAUCUUGAAUAUCUCCCAAAAGAUGUCUGUAAUAGACACCUAUGAUCUUCCCAAAUCUAGUGAAACAAGGUUUCCUAAAUGAAGAUGAUGUCCUUUGGAAAUCAUACUUCUUUCACCUCCUCCAAUUAUUCUCCCUAACCCACAAGUUCUUGAAAAGUUUAAGGUCACUCAAGCCCUAUUGGCAAGGCAAGGUCUAGGUGUGAUCACAUCUUGGAGAUGUAGUCACAUAUUGACAAGCCGGGAGAGUUGGGUGUCAAAGUCUUGAGAAAGUUGGUGGUUCAAUCACUUUCUAAGUCACAUAGUGAGUUCCUUUGGGACACCUAUGAAACAGACUAUGACAAGACCCUUAAUGAUCUUAUCUAUUUGCUAAGAUCAACUUCCUAAAACUUUAUGGACAUUGACAAUGAUGACAUUGGAUAUCCAGUAAAGCAUUCUCUUCCCAAUGGAAAGGGAUCGGCCAUAGUCAACUCGGUUGACCAAAUGGUAAAGAGAAAAGCUAAGUCUGUGAUAGUCUCGUGUACCAUUAUCAAAGGGUCCAUAUGUUUAUAUUGCCAAGGGAAGGGGCAUUGGUUGCGAAGCUGCCAAAUUUACCUAAGGAUGUUAAAGUCAAUAAGUUUGACUCUACUUCAGGUAAAGACCACUAUCUAACUCUGUUAAGUUUCUAUUCUGAGAUUCCUGAUACAUGAUGUGACUGGGUCACAUGGUGAUGUUUUAAGAAUCAAAGAAAAGUGAAGAAACUUAAAGAAAGAAUAUGCUGAAUCUGAUGGCGUAGAUGGAUUUCUAUCGCAUAGUUUGAAGAUCGGAUUCUUGAGCAACUUCUUAGGAGUUAUGAGAUAUUGCUUAGGAAUAGAUAACAACAAGUUUUCAUAUGGAUUGUAAGGAUAAGUUUUUCCGCAAAGUUUUAAAAUAAAAGAAAAUUUUUUUGAUUUUAUUUAUUUUAAAAUAUCCUUACAAUGGCUUUUGAGGAAAAAUUGUUGCUUAUAUGAUUCCAUUAAGAGCAAGAGUGGAAAUAUGAAAUUGAUUCUUUCAUUUGUGGUAAUGUCUAGAUUUACCAAAUAAGGAAAGAUUCUCAUCACCCAAGUUUCAAUUGGACCGGAACUUGGAAUCAUGCAAGUUGUAUAGCAUGAUGAAUGAGAACUUUCAAGUUUUGGAAAAUUAAGACUAAUUACUCGGCCACAUGGAUGUGUGAGUCAAGUAAAGGACUAAGGGAUCGAGUACACAUUCUUGUGCACUGAUUAAGUCCACCACAAAAGAUUGAUAAGACUAUUCGUCAUAGUUUACUAAAGCUCAGUAAAUAUGAUUAUACUUACAAGCUUAAGUGUAACUCUGAGACAUUGGAAAAGGUUCCAAUGUAUGGCAGGGCGAAUAAGAAGAAUCAAAUAAGGCAGAAGGAUAAAAGUUUCUCAAAUCUGAAAAGAUGGGAGAGUACUUUAGUAUCAGUUUUGUGAUCAUCUUAAUGAUUAAGAAACCAUAUCAAAAUUAGUUCUCUAAGGAAAUCUUAGUGCAUUCUUAUGACUAAGAAGAGGAACUUGAAUUGUUGAAAUGGUUAAAUCAAGAAGAUGAGUCAUACUUCGUUCCAAUACAAGUCUUAGAGUCAUACUCCAAGAUUGUCAUUUGAGUGACAUGUCUUAAAGAAGGUUUAAAACACUUGUCAAAUGUAAGAGUAAAAGUUUUCUACUCUUGUACAUUUGAAAUUGGUAAGUUGUGAUGUUUUGGAUAAAACAAAGACCAACUUAGGCCAAUUGGGUAAAGUGUUUUUCUUGAUUAGAAUCCGCACUAUCUCUUGGAUGUUUGACAAGGGAGUCUUAUAUGUCAAGAGGACAGUGGGAGUCUUAAAGGUCUUGAAAGUCUCAAGAACUAAUCAAGAAUAAAACCUAAAGUUCUUCACUAGCACACAACUUGAGGUUCAUAACCUAUCGUGUUGACAUAUUCUGUGCCCAUUCCAGUUAAAGUUGGCUUUGCAUAUGAGUUCUUAGAGUUCUCAAUUUGUUGCACAACAACUUGGAAGCAAUGGUAGGCCCUUGAGCUGCCAGGUGGCAAGAAAUUAAGAUUGAGUUCAGUCCAUAUGAGUUUGGAUUUGUCAUUAUCCUUGUCUUGUGACUAUGGUUUUGACAAUUCACAUGGAUAAGAACACAUACACCAUUAAAUCUAAGUGUCAUAAGGUUUCUCUCCGAUUCAUGAAAAUGAUGGUGAGGAAACACUUUCACUAAGUAGAUUUUAGCUAGAUAGCAAUUGUGAUAUUUGCAUUCUCAAAGUCGUUAGUGGAGCGCGUGUGGUUAACCGGCACACUAAUUUGGACUUGUGAGAAGUGGCAAAAAGGUCUAAACAUUAUGAUUACGGCAUCCCUCUUCAUAAUUGUUUAGAUACACAAGUGUGCUAUCUAAGGGAAGGUGUAUGAUUUUGAUAAAGCUUUAUCAAAACAAUCUAGCAUCAGAAAUCUGAACUUUGGUAAGAAAGUCAAUGAAGUAUUGAUUUCUAGAAGUCCAGCUGAUUUCUGAGUACAUGUCAAAGCUAGUGGGAGCAUAAGUGUUAUGCUAAUAAUCAUCAUGUUAGUGGGAGCAUGAUAAUUAUGAUAAGUAUUGCAAGUUAGCAAUGUUAAUUAUAGAAAACAAAAGUUUCAAUUGGGAAAAAGUUGUUUUGCUAUAAUUAAGGGAGAGGAAAUUAUACUUCAUCUCAAAUCUAUAAGCUUAGAUCGUGAGGUUUUAAUCAUUUAGUCAAGGAUAUAUAUGAAUUUCAUGUUGGAAUGGCUCAACAUAAGGAAAUUCUGUAUAUGGGUCCAUUAUUUGCGUUCUAAAAUUCGAUUAUGAUUACGGCAUCCCUUUUCAUAAUCUGAAUUAUGAGAACUUGGCAAAUUGAAAUGGAAAUAUUAUAGCAAAAGACUGGUUUAGUCUUUAUGUGAGACAUCAUGAAUCGUGUCCCAUAUGCUUCGGAUAUAGGAUCGAUUACAUGUGCUAUAUUCAUCCGUUCUAAAAUUUUCCAAAUGCCUGGGGCAUUAAGAAGGGAAAAGGUUUAGAACUGGAUAUGACUAAAAGGAUUAAACAAUUGUCGAGGACAAUCUAAGGUUUACCAAAGAUUGGUUGCUCAAGGACAGUUGGAAGUAUAGUGAUAAUUCUGGAAGGACCAUAUUGACAUAAUCUGUAAGGAGGCAACUCUUGUUCAGAAGUGAUAGUCAAAAUGGAAUCUGGAAAUGUUUCAAAGUUAGAAUUUUCAAUCUGUUUAAGAUUAGGAAACUUAAUGCAAGAAGGAUGUUUCCAAGGAGCUGAUCUCCUUUGGAAUACUCUGUAAUGAUUGUUGUCAAGUCUUUCUGACUUUGUGCAUAAUCAUUACAAGAGGAUCAAUGCAUAUAAGUUUAGAAUCUAACAGAUUUCAGUAAAUGGCAUGAAUUUGGAAUUCUUGCAUUUGCAGUAAGGAUUUGGGAGUGUGAAAAGAGAAUCAUUGAAGUUAUGUUCAAUUGAUCUAGUUCACAAAGUAAAGAUCAUAGACAAACAUAGUAUGCAUACUUGGUGUGUGGCAUGACUAGUGUUUAAGAAAACAUAGUGUACAUGCUUGGAGCAUGGGACAACUAUUGUUUUAAAUUCAAGAAUAAAGUUGAUAGCUGAAACAGUAUACAAUGAAUAAUGUGUAAUCAUAUGGUGAUAAAUAAAAGGUGUUUUAUUUAUGUUCAUAAGUUUUGAUACCAUAUUGGAUUCAAUUAUUAUUGUGUUUCACUUUGCAUGUUUUGACUUCCCGAAUAAACUAGGUUAUUCUUCCGGAAUGACUAAGUUAUUCAAACCAUCCACAGUCGGUCAUAUGUUGGAAGUAGAUAUGAAUUAAGACUGUCAUGGGUUGGCUUGUAGAGGUCUAAGGUGUUGGACAAAGGGCUACAACACUCAUGAGUGCUCAUAAGUUCUGAGUAUUGGAUUCAACCCGCGCUCAUUGGAAUCACUUCAUGGAUUUUAUCACGAGUGAUCAUGAGACGAUAAUAUCUUAUAUUCUUCAAACCUAGAGAUAUGAGUUGUUACUAUGAGUUGGUUGUACAUUGAUUGCACGAAAACGCAUUUGGUAACUCGGUGCUAUAAAACGUGCCUUUGUGUAUGAUUCAACAAGUAGUAGAACAAGCCAUAUGAGUCGAAGUUUAUCCAUUCCUUUUACCUUCGGGAUAAAAGCGAUAUCUGUGGGCCCCUCGAUGAUUUGAUGAUGACAAAUGGAAGUGCUCGGCCGGGCCAGGACUGAUUUGAUUUGUUCAAUUAGUCAGUCGUCAUAAAUCGGAAAUCGGGAAACAACAAAUGGACAGAGAGAAUGAUUAUAAUCCAUGUCUCAGUCCAUAUGAUAUCUAGAAUGGAGGAAUAUAUGAUCCCUUAUCUAAUGGACAAGUCAUUGACAAAGGUCAGAGUUCAUCUACAAGGUCAGAGUUCGACAGAAGCUUUUGAGAGCUACGAUUGCCAGUUGGUUCCUGAAGUCAUACGCAAUAAUAGUUUUAGACUUAUCCAAGUGGGAGACUGUUGGAUUAAUGUCUAAGUCCAUAACUAUAAUUGGUAAGACUUGACCCGACCUGGCAUGGUCCAUUUGGGUUGCAUGGCAUCAUGCACUUGGAUAGACUAAAAUGAGAGAAAUAACACUUAAGGUUUAUUAAUAUAUUAUAAGUUCUAAUAUAUUAAUAAGGUUAUUUAAUUAUUAUUGAUCAAGAAUUAAUUUGGAAUUAAUUAAGUGAUCAAAAGGAGACUAAUUAAAUAUAUUGGUUGAUUGUGUAAAUCAUUCAUUCUUAUAUAUGUGCGCUUGUGAUCCAAGAUUCCUUAUGUUAGACUAUGUCCAUGGGGUGACCCAUGGAUGCUCCAUGGAGGUUAAAAUCCAGGGAGCAUAAGGAAUGGGUAAAGUCAUGAGUUACAUGGUGUAACCCUAAUAGCCAACAUAUAAAAGAAACCCAUGGCUCAAGAAAUCGUACGCUAUGGGUGUGUGUGUAAGGGCUAAACGAUUUCAUGGAGUGUUCAAAUUUCUCUCUAAGUUAUUCCAAGUGCUUAUGGUGUUGUGUGAACCAUUUGAGGUGUCACACUUGGGGCACUAGGCACUCAAGCUUCAUGAAGACAAGCACCAACAAAAGGUAUGUUAUUCUAAAUUGUGUUAUUCAAAGUUUUGUAUGCUAGAAUAGAACAAUACCUUGAAAGUUGAUAUUUGCAUGUAUAAUAGAGAAAACAUAGAUGCAAGGAAUUUAGGGUUGCAUGUACACUUAGGAGUGUUAGAUUGCUCAAAACCCAACACUUGUAACAUCCAUAAAUUUUACACCGGUUUAAAACUUUUUCAACCAUAAAUGAAAGUCAAAUUGCAUUGUUUACAAAAACGUUUUCAAAUAAAUAUCCAUCAGAGUGUCCCAAAAUCAUAACAUAAGGAUGAGGAGCGGUACGGUCACGCCUUCGCCUUUGCAUGAUCUCCUGAAGUACCUGAAACAAUAAACUGAAAACUGUAAGCCCGAGGGAUUAGUGAGCUACCCCCGAAAUACCAAUACCACACUGACAAUACCAUAUCAGUAACAAUGUAUCAAUCAAUCAACAUACAUACUAGCCAUCAGCCUGACUGGACCGCCCUACUGGGCCUAUAGUCUAUCCGAAUCUAUCCCGAGCCUUCGGCAUGACUGGUCCGCCUCGUGGACCUACAGUCUCCCCGGACCGCUCAUAGGGUAUGUUGGCCUACAGCACAAAGGAGGACCGCCUCAACCCAACCAACAAGCAAAUACUAUGUGCGUAUAACUGUCAUAUACUGGCAUAUAUAAACAUCAAGCAUAACUAUCACUGGUCAUCAAUCAUAGAAUUCUCUCGUAACUAGAGUACCGACCUAGCAGGUCACGAGCAUACCAAUCCCUACGGAUCAUAAGAGCAUAGCAUACGGUCUACCCUGAUUCCGAUCUAACAGAUCAUAACCACAUAUAGCAUACCAUAACAAUAACAACUAAAGGGCCGACCUUGGUGCCGUAGACCCUAUCGAUAUAGUGAGGAUAACUCACCUUGCAAAUGUCGACUCGAAAGAUACACUCCAACUCUCGGAUCACCCGACACCGGCUUCACCACCUAUGAUCAUAGUACAAUAUACUCAUAAGUCCUUAACCUUAUAAGGUACCCUAUAACCCACUAGUCAACCCCUGAUCAAAGUCAAAGUCCUCAGUCAAGGUCAACUAUCCAUGUUGACCUUGACUCGCCGAGUACCCUCGGCUACUCGUUGAGUUCCCUGGAGUACAUUCCAACUCGCCGAGUCAUCGGAGUGACUCAUCGAGUUCCUUCGAUUCUCGAUCAAACUUUAAGGCCACCCAUCAACUUCCCUCCUUGCAACUCGAUGGAUACACACUCAUACAUAUCCAAGAGAAAACUCAUCCGACUCGCCGAGUUGUUCUUCAACUCGUCGAAUCUUAUGACGAUCUUCAUCGGACUCGCCGAGUUGUUCAUCCAACUCGUCGAGUCUUAUGACGAUCUUCAUCGGACUCACCGAGUUGUUCAUCUAACUCGUCGAGUUCAUGGCCAUCUUCAUGUGACUUAUUGAGUCAACUUUUCGACUCGCCGAGUACAUUCAGUCCUCUUUCCAUACAGACUUGUUUUGAGCCAUGCAGCGGCUCCAAAUCACAGAUCCAAGCUUCUAGGGCAUGCUUAUCACGUAAAGUUGCAAAAUCUACGUGCAUGCAUGGCCUUGAAGGCACCAAAUGCCAAAUCUAAGUUCUUAAUGGGGCUUCAUGCCCAAGAGGGACCUCAAUCACAACCAAAACUGUGACUUUAUGCUCCUAGAAUCCAAGGAGGGUCCAGAUCUGAAGUUACAACUUCAGAUCUAGCCCAUAGCUCAUCAUACCAACUUGAAAAUCCAUAAAAAGCCCUACAAACUCAACAAAAGGGAAAAAGGAAAGUAAGGAUGGCACUUUGAUACCUCCAAAGGAUGCUAGCUGAGGUAAAUCCUACUUUCCAUGCCUUCCUUGCUUCAAUUCCUUUGCACUCUCAACUUUCUUCCUCCAGGAUUCUCUUUCCAAGCUUCAAACACCACACCAAAGCACCCACACACAUAUAAGGACUCUCAGGACUCUCUAGAACUGUAAAGAGACCCAAGGGAGGCUAGGGUCCUUUUAAAUAGGGGUGCAAACCCCGAGAUUCAGGGUUUCAUCUGCCAACUCCUACUCGCCGAGUCCCAAUAUGGACUCGUCGAGUAGGUCACUUAACACGCGAUCCCAUCCCGCUGCUACUCGAUGAGUAGGUCAACCAACUCGUCGAGUAGAGCUUAACCCAAUAAAUCUUAUUUAAGCAAUACCUGAGAAUCGAGGCGUUACAAUUUGGACAGUGAUUGUUUUUGCAUGUAGAAUACUUGAAUCUGCCAUAUAAACUGCUUUUUUUCUCUUUCUUUUGUUCUAUUGAUGGUUUUCCGUUUUCUCAAGGAGGAGGGAGUCAUUCCCUCCCAACCCACUGAACCUACUGCCACAUCAACUUUUUUCUUUAAUUUUUCUUCAUCUUUCCCAACCCACAACACAUGGAAAUCCUAUCUUUCUCAACCCAUUCAAUUAAAAAAAAAUACAAAAUGAUUAAGGUAAAAUCUUAAUUAGCAAUAGAGUUACCGUCGGUCCCAUUCCCGCUUUAACGGGUUGUUUAAUUGGUUUCACUAACCCACUUCAUCCACACUCUCUCUCUCUCUCUCUCAUUUUCUCUUCUACCAUGUGUUUUAAGACGUGCACUUUAGUUGUUUAGUAUUUUUUUUAAUUGAAUGGGUUGAGUGGGUUGAGAAAGAUAGGAUUUCCAUGUGUUGUGGGUUGGGAAAGAUGAAGAAAAAUGAAAGUGAAAAGUUAAUGUGGCAGUGGAUUCAAUGGGUUGGGACGGAAUGACUCCCUCCUCCCUCAGUGGUUCAUAUUGACAUAGAGAAUGUAAAUGUUGAAGCAAAUCCAUGAUAUGAUUGACUUUUCAAUCUUGAGAAUUGGGUUAGCAUUCAUGAUCUGGCAGAUCUGCUAUGACUUCAUGUAUGGAUUUUUUUUUUCUGGAAUUUUAGUUCCAAUGGCUACUUGUAUCUACUUCUUUGCAAACAUGAUCAUAUUAACUUAUCCUAAAUGAAGUGAGGACAUGUUAUUUAUUUUUUUUAUUUUUUCCUUAUUAAAUUUUGCAUGGAUAAAUGAUGUGACAGGAAUAAGUGUCGUAUUUUUCUUAAUGAGAGUAAAUGACCACUUUUCCCUUGAGUAAUCAUAUUUCCUUUUCUUUAUGCCCUUCAAGAAAACUUAUGUUGCGGAUCUUGAUGACAUAUUUGGCCACUCUGUUUCUAGUGCUAGAAUUUUUGUUUGUUGGACACAACUCAAUAGAUCGUCUGAACGAGAGUAAAUGACCAUUUUACCCUAGACUAAAUCACAUUUUCUCUUCUUUAUGAUGGAUCUGAUGGGUUUUAGCCAUAAGAACUUUCCUAUGUGCGCAUGCAAAACCCUAAUGCUUGGAUCUAGGCUUUCUAAUAAACAUGCUUUUGAAUCCAAGACUUCUAAUAACUAAUUAGGUCAAAUAACAAAAUUGAAACAGAUCUUGAAUCAUACCUUUGAAUCCCUUGUUGAUCUUGUUUGUCUUGGAGCUUCUAGAGUCACAAUUGUCACUCCUCUAAUGGCUUACAAACACCAAUAGCAAGCAAGAUGAUUUAGGAGAGAGGAGAGGGGAGGAAUUCGGCUAGAGUAUCCUUGCUUAAGGUUGUGUGUCGAAUUCCCUCACCCAUAGGGUCUAUUUAUACUUGUAGACUCCUUAAGGGUUUCACCCUAAACCCUAAUUGGAUAAUCUUCUCUUAAGGCUAUCCAAAUCCAUUCCAUAGAUAACCAUAUGGACGAUUUGAGCUAUCCUAAAUCUCUUAGAAUCCGUCCAAGGUCCAUCUUAAUGGAUUUACAGUCUAAAGUCUAACUAUCAAACAAUUGACAGUUUAUACCCUCUUAUUUAAUUAAUCUCUUUAAGUCACCAAAUUAAUACCAAUUAAUUUAUGACUUAUAUUAAUCAAAUAGCUAAAUAUUAUUUCUUAUAAUAUUUACUCUCUCUUAACAAAUCAUCCUUCAAGUUGCUAUGGUGAAGGCAACCCAAAAGGACCAUGCACAACCGAAUAUAGUUACAGCCUUAGACACUAUUCCAACAGUCUCCCACUUGGAUAAGUCUAGUAACUAUACAAGUACAAUUCGGUUUGCAAUCGUAGCUCUCAAAGACGCUGUCAACUCUGAUCUAAUCAAUCUUGUCCUUUAGAUAAGGGAACGUACAGUCCUCUGUUAGAUAUCAUGCUGACAAUCCUAUGGAAUGGUUAGUCAAGCAUUUAGGUUUCUCGAUCUCUGAUUUAUUUGACAUAGAACUUAAUCGAACACAUCAAUUCAGUUCUGACCGGGCCCGGCACAUAAGUCAAAUCAAAUCAUCGAGCGGCCGAGAUAUCGCUUUUACCUUCUUAGAUAAAAGUUACAGAUAAACUUCGACUUAUAUGCAUUUACUUAUUCAUUAACCAACUAUACACAACAAUACGUUUUAUAACAUCAAGUUACUGAUGCGUUUUCGUAUUAUCAAUGUACAAUCAAUUAACAAAUAAUAAACCAUAUAUCUAGGUUUUAAGACUAUAUGAUAUUAUCGUCUUGCGAUCACCUUUUAUAUCGUAUUCCAUAAGGUGAUUCCAGCAAGCGCGGGUUUAUUCCAAUGCUCAAAACUAGUUCAUAAGCACUCAUGAACGUUGCAGCAAUCCUUUGCUAUGUCUAACACCAUUUAGACAUUCUACACACCAAUUCAUGACAAUCUUCUUUCAUAUCUACUCCCAACAUAUGAACGAUUGUGGACCAUUUGAAUAAUUCGAUUAUUCCUAAUAAACUCAAUUAUUCUGGAAGUCAAAACAUGCAAAGUGAAACAAUAGCUAAACAAUUAACAUAAGAUAGUAACAUUACUCAUAAAUAAAACUCCUUUAUUUAAUCAUCAAAUGUCAAUUACAUUUAUCUAUUACACGUUUCUAAUACUAUCUAAUCUAUGCUAAUAUCAUCCUUCAGCCCAAUACUCCUAGCAUGCUGCAAGUGCUUAACCCUACUCAGUCCCUUCGUAAGCGGAUCUGCUGGGUUAUCUUCUGAUGAUAUCCUCUUCACUACGAGUUGUCCUUCUUCUACACGAUGUCUAAUGAAGUGAUAUUUUCUGUCGAUAUGUCUUGAUCUACCAUGAUCCCUCGGUUCCUUGGUCAAGGCAACCGCUCCUUCGUUAUCACAGAAAAUCUCCAUGGGCUCCUUUAUGGCAGGUACAACUCCAAGAUCACCGAUGAAGUUCUUUAGCCAUAUUGCCUCCUUCGACGCUUCGCUCGCUGCAAUGUACUCUGAUUCGCACGUUGAAUCAGCUACGGUUUCCUGCUUGGAACUUUUCCAUGUCACUGCUCCUCCAUUUAGGGUAAAGACCCAGCCCGACUGCGAACGGUAGUUGUCCCUGUCGGUCUGAAAACUGGCGUCACUAUACCCUCGCACCUUCAAGUCAUCACUCCCUCCGAGGACUAAGAACCAUUCCUUCGUCCUCCGAAGGUACUUAAGGAUAUUCUUCACCGCAAUCCAAUGUGCUUUGCCAGGAUUCCCUUGAUAUCUGCUAACCAUGCUCAAAGCGAAGGCUACAUCAGGGCGAGUACAAGUCAUAGCGUACAUGAUUGAGCCAACUGCGGAAGCGUAUGGUACUCGGCUCAUUUCUGCUAUCUCAGCUUCGGUACUCGGACUUUGAGUCUUACUCAAUUUGGCAUUACUUUGUAUCGGUAGUUCUCCCUUCUUUGAGUUUUCCAUACUAAAACGUUUUAGUACCUUCUCUAAGUAAGUAUUCUGACUAAGUCCAAUUAGUCUCUUACUUCUUUCUCUUACUAUCCUUAUUCCCAAAAUGUAAGAAGCCUCUCCGAGGUCCUUCAUAGCGAAGCACUUCCCGAGCCAGGACUUAACUUCCUGCAGAGUCGGGAUGUCGUUUCCUAUGAGUAAUAUGUCAUCGACAUAUAGAACGAGGAAGCUUACUAUACUCCCACUGGCUUUGACAUAUACACAAGAUUCGUCUUCGCUUCGUACAAAUCCAAACUCUUUGACUUUCUCAUCGAAGCAAAGAUUCCAUCUGCGAGACGCUUGCUUAAGUCCAUAAAUGGACUUCUCAAGCUUACACACUCUAUUCGGAUGCUUCGGAUCCACAAACCCCUCUGGCUGAGCCAUGUAAACAUCCUCAGCCAACUUUCCGUUAAGGAAAGCGGUCUUGACAUCCAUUUGCCAAAUCUCAUAAUCAUGAAAUGCGGCAAUUGCUAGCAUCACUCUAAUAGAUUUAAUCUUCGCAACUGGUGAGAAGGUCUCAUCAUAGUCAACUCCGGGAGUUUGAGUAAAGCCCUUCGCAACCAAUCGCGCUUUAUAUGUGUGUACGUUUCCAUCCACGUCGGUCUUCUUCUUGAAGAUCCAUUUGCACCCAACGGUCUUACGUCCGGGCACAUAAUCAACCAAAUUCCAAACUUGGUUAUCAUACAUGGAUUGGAUCUCGCUAUCCAUUGCCUCUUUCCAUUUUGCAGACUCCGGGCCUGCCAUGGCUUCCUUAUAGCUAUUAGGUUCAUCAAGAUUUAUUAGUGUACCAUCACUAAUAUACGUGUCCCCUUCGGUAGUAAUAUGAAAACCAUAAAACUGGGGUUGAACUCUAACUCUAUCGGAACGUCUAAGAGGUAAGGAUUCGUCAAUCGGUUCAACCGGAGUUUCCUCCUCGGGUUGAGUGCCAGCGGUAGAGGUUCCUUCAUCUAUCGACUCUUGAAUCUCUUCAAGCUCGAUUUGCCUCCCACUGUCUCCUUGGCUUAUGAGUUCUCGCUCUCGGAAAACUCCUCUCCUCGCAACGAAGACAACAUUGUCCUUCGGUCUAUAGAAGAGAUAUCCAAAGGAUGUCUGCGGGUAGCCGAUGAAAAUACAUCGCUCACUUCGAGGUUCAAGCUUGUCGUGAGUAUCUCGUCUUACGAAAGCCUCGCAACCCCAAACCUUGAUAUGUGCCAACGAGGGAGCUUUCCCUGUCCACAUCUCGUGAGGUGUUUUGGCAACCUUCUUAGUAGGGACUCGGUUAAGGAUAUGGGCGGCAGUCUCUAAGGCAUACCCCCAAAAAGAGAUAGGUAGUGAAGCACGACUCAUCAUAGAGCGAACCAUAUCCAAUAAGGUUCGAUUACGCCUUUCUGCCACACCAUUCAACUGCGGUGUCCUAGGAGGCGUCAAUUGCGAAACUAUUCCACACUCCUUGAGAUAAUCGUGGAAUUCAAGACUUAGGUACUCUCCUCCUCGAUCGGAUCGAAGCAUCUUGAUUUUCCUGCCCAAUUGAUUCUCCACUUCAUUCUUGAACUCUUUGAACUUUUCAAAGGUUUCUGACUUUUGCUUGAUUAAGUAGAUAUACCCAUAUCUACUAUAGUCAUCGGUAAAAGUCACAUAGAAGCGGUUCCCAUCCUUCGUGGUUGAUCUAAACGGUCCACAUACAUCGGUAUGUAUUAGGUCCAAUAGACCCUCGCCCCUUUCACAUGUACUCGUGAAGGGUGACUUAGUCAUCUUUCCAAGCAAACAAGACUCGCAUGUGUCAUCUUCCCUAAGGUCGAAUGACUCCAACACUCCAUCCUUUUGGAGUUGGGCUAUGCGUUUCUUGUUGACAUGUCCAAGACGACAAUGCCACAAGGAUGCUUUAUCCAUACUAGUGGAAGAAUCAAUAUUCAAAACAUCAUUUCCUAAGUUAUCAACAAUCAUAACGGUUUCAUAUAUUCCAUUACAUGGUAUAGCUUCAAAGUAAAAGACACCAUUUAGAUAAGCCAAAAUAGAACCAUUCUCAUUAUUAAAAGAAAAUCUAAAUCCUUGUCUAUAUAAACCAUGAAAUGAAAUGAUGUUUCUUGCCAUUUCUGGCGAAUAGCAACAAUUGUUCAAAUCUAAAACUAAACUAUUCCUAAGCACUAAGGAAUACACUCCAAUCUUGGUCACAGGCGACGAUCUUCUGUUCCCCAUGAUUAGAUUGAUCCUUCCUUGCUCCACAUCCCUACUUCUUCUUAGUCCCUGCACAUUAGAACAAAUGUGAUAACCACAACCGGUAUCAAGAACCCAAGAAAUAGCAUGAUUAGAAUCGUUAGAUUUGAUUGUAUAUAUACCUGCGAAAGAUGGCUUGAUCUUUCCUUCUUUGAUUGCUUGCAGGUAAUCCGGGCAGCUUCUCUUCCAAUGUCCUAUCUUGUGGCAGUGGUGGCACUCUGCCUCCUUCGGGUUAGAGCAGGGCUUGGCGGGAUCAACUUUGGUCCCACUAGAAGAGGCACCAUCUCGGGCUUUCACCUUGCGAUAGUUCUUCGAUGAAGCUUUCCUCUUCUUUCCCUUCCCUUGUCCAAUAGCCAAGACAGGAGCAGCGGGCGGAUUGGGAGUAGGUGCAACAGACUUGUCUUUGAAGUUGCUCUCAGCAACCCUCAAGAGACCUUGGAGCUUGCUUAGGGUGACCUCUUCUUUGUUCAUGUGGUAGGUCAUCCUAAAUUGGUUGUACAUCGGAGGCAAAGAGUGAAGCACCAUGUCGAUCGCCAAGUCUUCACCGAAGUCAACAUUUAACUUGCGGAGGCGGUCAACAUACCUUUGCAUCUUUUGCAAGUGCACGGUAAGAGAUUCUCCAUGACCCAUCUUCGCGGAAAUCAUGUUAGUGAAAAUCUCGUACCUCUCUUGUCUCGCGUUUUGGUGGUACCUCUCCAAUAAGUCUUGAUGCAUCUCGUACGGGUACAUGUCCUCGUAGGACUUUUGGAAUUCGGAGUUCAUGGUGGCGAUCAUGAUGCAAUGUACCUUCGUUGCAUCUCGCUCAUGAGUUUCAAAGGCGGUGAUUUCGGCGGGAGUAGCAAUUUCGGGGUUGAUUUUCUCGAGCUUCUCAUCGAGGACAUACUCCUUAUCCUCAUAGCGAGCAAUGGUGCGAAUGUAUCUUAUCCAUUCGCUAAAGUUCGUUCCAUCGAAGGUGACCUUUUGGCAAAGGCUCAUCAACGUGAAAGAACUAGCAGCAGCGUUGUUUGCGUUCGACAUCUACAAUUAGAAAAGGACAAAGAUAGAUUAGAAUAAGAAUCCCUAAUUAUCACCCAAUAAGAAAAUUAGGGCUAGGAUCCAACAAUAACAUUUACAUACUAGAAAAGGGAUGCCGUAAUCUAACAUGCAAAUAAAUUGAAGGUAAGUGAAUGACGAUUCACUAAUUCUCCAUCACAAAACUUAAACUAUUAGUCCUAAGUGUUUUUGAGAAUUCCUAGGUUCGGAUGAGAUUCAUUGAAACUAUUCAAUGGCAUGUUUAAAUCUCGAUAUGCCCCUCUUGUUUGUGACUGGGAUGCCGAGGAUCACAAAGCGGGUGUGAAUUACCAUGCAAAUUCACAUGGUGCCUUCAUUGUAACAAUCACCUAUUCGAUGUGCCGGUAAACCACACACGCUCCAUCGAACUAUGAUAAACAAUGAAUCACCCUUUGCCACCUUCGCUUAGAACCAAUUAGUGUGCCGGUAAACCACACACGCUCCACUAACAUCUUAGCAAGGUGCAAAGUGUAAUUUCAUGGGAUUGCAUCAAUUC
RNAcentral lists this long non-coding RNA (58771 nucleotides) under Lactuca sativa (garden lettuce). RNAcentral describes it as "long non-coding RNA (LSAT_LNC001060)". The record is from RNAcentral. Lineage: Eukaryota; Viridiplantae; Streptophyta; Magnoliopsida; Asterales; Asteraceae.